Long non-coding RNA from Loxodonta africana (African savanna elephant), 72889 nucleotides. RefSeq lists it as uncharacterized. NCBI's taxonomy places the organism in Eukaryota, Metazoa, Chordata, Mammalia, Proboscidea, Elephantidae. The transcript has 3 exons. The record is from RefSeq and is a predicted model, not a curated record.
GGGCCGGGAGGGCCUGGCCUGGUGCAGGCCCGAGGGUGUCGCCGGCCUUGGAAGGCGCUGACGCUGGUCUGCUGCUGCUUCGCUUCCUCCUUGCCGCGCUCGAUCCUUUCCUCCCUGCCUCUCACUCCCUGGCGCAUGUGGGCAAGAGGAUCCCACCCCACCCCUCCGUUCCUUGGCUCCUUUUUCCCUUCCUGGUGCCGGGGUCUGGAACGUAGAUCCCAACUCGCCUCGAUCGGCGAAGGCCCAGAGCGUGUUUGUUUGCUCCUGUCUUUUGUGUGAUGCUCAGUGCAGAGUGGCUCUUUGCCGAAGACCGGCUUAGGAUUUUGCCAUUCCGUUUAGACUUGGGCAAUUCGCAGCAAUACGUUUAUACCUGAAAAAUGGUUGGCGUACUUAAACUGUUAAAGAAUGAUCGGCUGCUUGUUGGCAGUGGAUAAGGUUUUUUAGGUAACUUCGGUUCUGUUCUGAUGUGUGUUGUAGUCAGCAGGAGGAUUUACUGUCUUUACCCCAUUCUUCACCCCGUGUUUAUUUCUCUGGUGCUGAAACUAAUGUAUGCCUUUUGUGCUUCACUUCUUUUGGUCAGCUUGUAGUGAAUCUAUGUUUAAGCUAUUACGCCAAGUGACUUGGAACCCUAAAGCGUGAAAGGUUGGGGCAGCAUUUGAAGCUGUAAUACUACACAGUAUUUGUGAUUGGGCCUUGGGGGCUUGCCUUUCUGACGUCUGAAUAUGAUUUUAACGGUAACUCUUAAUGAGAUCUAGAUUUGCUAUUGUUUGAUGUGAUUCGGCUUAGUGACAUUUGAAAUUAUUUUUCUAGAUUUAUUGCUACAGACAUAAGCACGUGUUUGACAGUUCUCAAAACUGGGGAGCAGGUCUGAUAGGGAUACUUUUUCAAAAGAUGAUGUUGCUAGUUGCCUGUGAGUGGAUUCAGACUAGUGGUGACCCACCCCACGUGUGCAGCGUAGAACUGCUCUAUAUGGUUUUCAAGGCUGUAACAUUUUGAGAAGCAGAUUACCAGGCCUUACUUCUGAGGCACCUCUGGGGGAAUUUGAACCGCAAGCCUUUCUACUAGUAGUCCGGUGCUUAAACGUACAUUAUUAGCCCCAGAGAUUGACAAAUAGAAUAAAGCUGUUGCUUGGUACGGUUUCAUUUAGAAAAUUGUGUCACCAGAAUUGUCCAAGGUAUUCGAGGCCACAGGAAGACCACAGGUUUGUAGAAAAUUGCUACUCUUGGCAGUUUCGUCCACUUCAUCCCAUUGUGAGAGUUGCUGUAUGCAGAAUAAUUCAAAAAUAAUUCAGAAAAGACACAGAUAAUCAGGAGACAGAGAGGGAGGAAGUUUCCAGAACCACUAGAAAUAGGGGCCUUAGAUGACUUCUCAUCUACAGCUCAAAGACUAAAAGGCUAAUAAUCCCUUGCCAUUCUUUAUACUUGAGUUGCUCUUCUAGAAGCUACAAGAUUCUUAACUCUACCAGGCUUUUUGGAAUUUUCUGUUUGGUCUUUGAGGAUACAGAAGUUGCUUCCUUAACAUAGGGUAAUAAUAUUGGUGACCAAAGGCCUCAGUGGCUUCUAGAAGAAACAGGACAUUAUUAGAGAAAGUGCCAAAAUGUGGCCCAUUCAAGGAAUGCAUGUCCCUUCCUUUGAGCACAUUAGGGACGUUGGAAACAUCCAGCAGGCUUCCACAGUGUUACAUGUGGAAGUGAGUAGCCGUAUACAUUAUCUGUAAAUAACUUAGAUUUGACUAAUUUUGGAGCCUGUUUAAUUUAUUGGGUACUUUAGUGUUCUUUUUUUUUUUUUAAGAACCUGGUCUGGAAAUUUAGUCCUAGCUCUGCCAUUGAUUGUAAAAUUCCCAGCAAGGACAUCAUUUCAGUAACAGCAUUUUUCUUCCUUUAUGGGGAUGAUAUAGCAACUCGUUAACGGUAGAUACUAGGGUAAAAAACCCAUUGCCCUCAAGUCUGUUCCGACUCAUAAUGACCCUGUAGGACAGAGUAGAACUACCUUUCCAAGGAGCACCUGGUGGAUUCAAACUAUUGACCUUUUGGUUAGCAGCUGUAGGUCUUAACCACUAGGCCACCAGGGUUUCCAGUACUAGGGUCCAAACCAAAAACCAAAUCCGCUGGCAUCGAGUGGAUUGACUUAUAGUGACCCUAUAGGACAGGGUAGAACUGCCCCCGUAGAGUUUCCAAGGAGCCCCUGGUGGAUUCGAACUGUCCAACUUUUAGGUUAGCAGCUGUAGCACUUAACCGCUACGCUACCAGGGUUUCUGUUACUAGGGUAGGUACUGUAUUUCCUUUAUCACUUUCCUGAGUACCAAAUGUAGUGCUUUCCACCGAUUAGAGACUCAAUAUAAAAUGUAGAGUGACUUAGGGAAGUAAGCUAAUAGAGGCAGUUUUAUACUCCAGGGGAAAAAAAAAACCAAACCCUUUGCCGUCAAGUUGAUUCCGGCUCAUAGUGACCCUAUUUAAAAAAACAAAACAAAAACAUUGCUAUUUAGCUGAUUCCGACUCAGUGACCCUAAAGUAUUGGGUAAAUUAGAAGUGGAAGUAUUUCUUUCGGUAGGGGUGUCCAAAAUUUCCAAUUUAAUGAAUUUCUAUUCAAUUUUAUAUACAGAAAAAUUGAAAGAAGAGUACAGUAAACACCUGUGUGCAUUCUUCAGGAGGUGACUUUAUUUUUAUUUUUUAAUAAUUUUUAUUGAGCUUUAAGUGAACGCUUACAAAUCAAGUCAGUCUGUCACAUAUAAGUUCAUAUACACCUUACUCCAUACUCCCACUUACACUCCCCCUAAUGAGUCAGCCCUUCCAGUCUCUCCUUUUGUGACAAUUUUGCCAGUUUCUAACCCUCUCUUCCCUCCCAUCUCCCCUCCAGACAGGAGAUGCCAACACAGUCUCAAGUGUCCACCUGAUACAAGUAGCUCACUCUUCAUCAGCAUCUCUCUCCAACACAUUGUCCAGUCUCUUCCAUGUCUGAUGAGUUGUCUUCGGAAAUGGUUCCUAUCCUGGGCCAACAGAAGGUUUGGGGACCAUGACCGCUGGGAUUCCUCUAGUCUCAGUCAGACCAUUAAGUCUGAUCUUUUUAUGAGAAUUUGGGGUCUGCAUCCCACUGUUCUGCUGCCUUAGGUGUUCUCUGUUGUGCUCCCUGUCAGGGCAGUCAUCGGUUGUGGCUGGACACCAUCUAGUUCUUCUGAUCUCAGGAUGAUGUAAGUCUCUGGUUCAUGUGGCCCUUCCUGUCUCUUGGGCUCAUAGUUAUCCUGUGACCUUGGUGUUCUUCCUUCUCCUUUGAUGCAGGUGGGUUGAGACCAAUUGAUGCAUCUUAGAUGGCCACUUGUUAGCAUUUAAGACCCCAGACACCACAUUUCAAAGUGGGAUGCAGAAUGUUUUAUAAUAGUAUUAUUUUGCCAAUUGGCUUAGAAGUCCCCUUAAGCCAUAGUCCCCAAACCCCCGCCCUUGCUCCGAUGACCUUUGAAGCCUUCAGUUUAUCCUGGAAACUUCUUUGCUUUUGGUCCAGUCCAGUUGAGCUGACCUUCUGUGUAUUGAGUAUUGUCCUUCCCAUCACCUAAAGUAGUUCUUAUCUACUAACUAAUCAGUGAAUAACCCUCUCACACCCUCCCACCCUCCCUCCCUCCCCCUCUUGUAACCACAAAAGUAUGUGUUCUUCUCAGUUUAUACUAUUUCUCAAGAUCUUAUAAUAGUGGUCUUAUACAAUAUUUGUCCUUUUGCCUCUGACUAAUUUCGCUCAGCAUAAUGCCUUUCAGGUUCCUCCAUUUUAUGAAAUGUUUCACAGGCUCGUCACUGUUCUUUAUCGAUGCGUAGUAUUCCAUUGUGUGAAUAUACCACAAUUUAUUUAACCAUUCCUCCGUUGAUGGACACCUUGGUUGCUUCCAGCUUUCUGCUACUGUAAACAGAGCUGCAAUAAACAUGGGUGUGCAUGUAUCUGUUCGUGUAAAGGCUCUUCUCUAGGGUAUAUUCCGAGGAGUGGGAUUUCUGGGUUGUAUGGUAGUUCUAUUUCUAACUUUUUAAGAGAACCCCAGAUAGAUUUCCAAAGUGGUUGUACCAUUUUACAUUCCCACCAGCAGUGUAUAAGAGUUCCAAUGUCUCUGCAGCCUCUCCAACAUUUAUUAUUUUGUGUUUUUUGGAUUAAUGCCAGCCUUGUUGGAGUGAGAUGGAAUCUCAUCUGUAGUUUCAAUUUGCGUUUCUCUAAUAGCUAAUGAUCGAGAGCAUUUUCUCAUGUAUCUUUUAGCUGCCUGAAUAUCUUCUUUAGUGAAGUGCGUGUUCAUAUCUUUUGCCCACUUUUUGAUUGGGUUGUUUGUCUUUUUGUGGUUGAGUUUUAACAGAAUCAUAUAGAUUUUAGAGAUCAGGCGCUGGUCGGAGAUGUCAUAGCAGAAAAUUCUUUCCCAAUCUGUAGGUGGUCUUUUUACUGUUUUGGUGAAGUCUUUAGAUGAGCAUAGGUGUUUGAUUUUUAGGAGCUCCCAGUUAUCUGGUUUCUCUUCAUCAUUUUUGGUAAUGUUUUGUAUUCUGUUUAUGCCUUGUAUUAGGGCUCCCAACGUCCCUAUUUUUUCUUCCAUGAUCUUUAUCAUUUUAGUCUUUAUGUUUAGGUCUUUGAUCCACUUGGAGUUAGUUUUUAUGCAUGGUGUGAGGUGUGGGUCCUGUUUCAUUUUUUUGCAAAUGGACAUCCAGUUAUGCCAGCACCAUUUAUUAAAAAGACGAUCUUUUCCCCAAUUAACUGACACUGGGCCUUUGUCAAAUAUCAGCUGCUCAUAUGUGAAUGGAUUUAUAUCGGGGUUCUCAAUUCUGUUCCAUUGGUCUAUGUGUCUGUUGUUGUACCAGUAUCAGGCUGUUUUGACUACUGUGGGUGUGCAAUAGGUUCUAAAAUCAGGUAGAGUGAGGCCUCCCACUUUCUUCUUCUUUUUCAGUAAUGCUUUACUUAUCUGGGGCUUCUUUCCCUUCCAUAUGAAGUUGGUGAUUUGUUUCUCCAUCACAUUAAAAAAUGUCAUUGGAAUUUGGAUCGGAAGUGCAUUGUAUGUAUAGAUGGCUUUUGGUGGAAUAGACAUUUUUACUAUGUUUAGUCUUCCUCUCCAUGAGCAAGGUAUGUUUUUCCACUUAAGUAGGUCCUUUUUAGUUUCUUGCACUAGUGUUUUGUAGUUUUCUUUGUAUAGGUCUUUUACAUCUUUGGUAAGAUUUAUUCCUAAGUAUUUUAUCUUCUUGGUGGCUACUGUGAAUGGUAUUGAUUUGGUGAUUUCCUCUUUGAUGUUCUUUUUGUUGAUGUAGAGGAAUCCAAGUGAUUUUUGUAUGUUUAUCUUAUAACCUGAGACUCUGCCAAACUCUUCUAUUAGUUUCAGUAGUUUUCUGGAGGAUUCCUUAGGGUUUUCUGUGUAUAAGAUCAUGUCAUCUGCGAAUAGAGAUAAUUUUACUUCCUCCUUGCCAAUCCGGAUGCCUUUUUUUUUUUUUUAUAAAUUUUUAUUAAGCUUCAAGUGAACAUUUACCAUUCCAAUCAGUCUGUCACAUGUAGGUUUACAUACAUCUUACUCCCUUCUCCCACUUGCUCUCCCCCUAUUGAGUCAGCCCUUACAGUCUCUCGUUUCGUGCCAAUUUUACCUUCUUCCCUCUCUCUCUAUCUUCCCAUCCCCCCUCCAGUCAAGAGUUGCCAACACACUCUCCUGUGUCCACCUGAUUUAAUUAGCUCACUCUUCAUCAGUAUCUCUCUCCCCCCCACUGACCAGUCCUUUUCAUGCCUGAUGAUUUGUCUUCGGGGAUGGUUCCUGUCCUGUGCCAUCAGAAGUUCUGGGGAGCAUUGUCUCUGGGAUUCCUCUAGUCGCAAUCAUACCAUUAGGUGUGGUCUUUUAAUGAGAAUUUGGGGUCUGCAUCCCAUUGGUCUCCUGCUCCCUCAGGAGUUGUCUGUUGUGUUCCCUGACAGGGCAGACAUCGAUUGUGGCUGGGCACCAACUAGUUCUUCUGGUCUCAGGAUAAUGUAGGUCUCUGGUUCAUAUGGCCCUGUCUGUCUCUUGGGUUCUUAGUUGUCGUGUGACCUUGGUGUUCUUCCUUUGCCUUUGCUCCAGGUGGGUUGAGACCAAUUAAUGUAUUUUAGAUGGCUGCUUGUUGGCAUUUAGGACCCCAGGUGCCACAAUUCAAAGUGGGAUGCAGAGUGUUUUCAUAAUAGAAUUGUUUUGCCCAUUGAUUUAGAAGUCCUCUCAAACCAAGUUCCCCAGACCCCAGCCCCUGCUUCGCUAUCCUUUGAAGCUUUCAUUUUAUCUCGGAAACCUCUUUACUUUUAAUCCUGUCCAAUUAGGCUGACCUUCCUUGUUUUGAGUGUUGUCUUUCCCUUCACCCAAAGCAGUUCCCAUCUACAGAUUGAUCAAUAAAAAGCCCUCUCCCUCCCUCCCUCCCCCCUUUGUAACCACAAAAGUAUGUGUUCUUUUCCGUUUUUUCUAUUUCUCAAGAUCUUAUAAUAGUGGUCUUAUACAAUAUUUGUCCUUUUGCAACUGACUCAUUUCACUCAGCAUAAUGCCUUCCAGAUUCCUCCACGUUAUGAAAUGUUUCAGAGAUUCGUCACUGUUCUUUAUCGAUGCGUAGUAUUCCAUUGUGUGAAUAUACCACAAUUUAUUUACCCAUUCGUCCGUUGAUGGACAUCUUGGUUGCUUCCAGCUUUUUGCUAUUGUAAACAGAGCUGCAAUAAACAUGGGUGUGCAUAUAUCUGUUUGUGUGAAGGGUCUUGUAUUUUUAGGGUAUAUUCCGAGGAGUGGGAUUUCUGGGUUGUAUGGUAGUUCUAUUUCUAACUGUUUAAGAUAACGCCAGAUGGAUUUCCAAAGUGGUUGUACCAUUUUACAACCCCACCAGCAGUGUAUGAGAGUUCCAGUCUCUCCGCAGCCUCUCCAACAUUUAUUAUUUUGUGUUUUUUGAAUUAAUGCCAGUCUAGUUGGUGUCAGAUGGAAUCUCAUCGUAGUUUCAAUUUGCAUUUCUCUAAUGACUAAUGAUCGAGAGCAUUUUCUCAUGUAUCUGUUGGCUGCCUGAAUAUCUUCCUUAGUGAAAUGUGUGUUCAUAUCCUUUGCCCACUUCUUGAUUGGGUUGUUUGUCUUUUUGUGGUUGAGUUUUGACAGAAUCAUGUAGAUUUUAGAGAUCAGGUGCUGGUCUGAGAUGUCAUAGCUGAAUAUUCUUUCCCAGUCUGUAGGUGGUCUUUUUACUCUUUUGGUGAAGUCUUUAGAUGAACAUAGGUGUUUGAUUUUUAGGAGCUCCCAGUUAUCUGGUUUCUCUUCAUCAUUUUUGGCAAUGUUUUGUAUUCUGUUUAUGCCCUGUAUUAGGGCUCCUAGGGUAGAUCCUAUUUUUUCUUCCAUGAUUUUUAUCGUUUUAGUCUUUAUGUUUAGGUCUUUGAUCCACUUGGAGUUAGUUUUUGUGCAUGGUGUGAGGUAUGGGUCCUGUUUCAUUCUUUUGCAAAUGGAUAUCCAGGUAUGCCAGCACCGUUUGUUAAAAAGACUAUUAUUUCCCCAAUUGACUGACACUGGUCCUUUGUCAAAUAUCAGCUGCUCAUAAAUGGAUGGAUUUAUAUCUGGAUUCUCAAUUCUGUUCCAUUGGUCUAUGUGCCUGUUGUUGUACCAGUACCAGGCUGUUUUGACUACUGUAGCUAUAUAAUAGGUUCUGAAAUCAGGUAGGGUGAGGCCUCCCACUUUCUUCUUCUUUUUCAGUAAUGUUUUGCUUAUCCGGGGGUUCUUUCCUUUCCAUAUGAAAUUAGUGAUUUGUUUCUCUAUUCCCUUAAAGUAUGACAUUGGUAUUUGGAUUGGAAGUGCGUUGUAUGUAUAAAUGGCUUUUGGUAGAAUAGACAUUUUUACUAUGUUAAGUCUUCCUAUCCAUGAGCAGGGUAUGUUUUUCCAUUUAAGUGUGUCCUUUUGAAUUUCUUGUAGCAGAGUUUUAUAGUUUUCUUUGUAUAGGUCUUUUACAUCCUUGGUAAGAUUUAUUCCUAAGUAUUUUAUCUUCUUGGGGGCUACUGUGAAUGGUAUUGAUUUGGUGAUUUCCUCUUUGAUGUUCUUUUUGUUGAUGUAGAGGAAUCCAAGUGAUUUUUGUAUGUUUAUCUUAUAACCUGAGACUCUGCCAAACUCUUCUAUUAGUUUCAGUAGUUUUCUGGAGGAUUCCUUAGGGUUUUCUGUGUAUAAGAUCAUGUCAUCUGCGAAUAGAGAUAAUUUUACUUCCUCCUUGCCAAUCCGGAUGCCUUUUAUUUCUUUGUCUAGCCUAAUUGCUCUGGCUAGUACCUCUAGCACAAUGUUGAAUAAGAGCGGUGAUAAAGGGCAUCCAGGAGGUGACUUUAUUUUUAAACCUUUUUUUCUUUAAAGACUGCAAAAUAAAAUUUUAUUCCACUUAGUUUGAGAAUUAAGCCUGAUUUUUGUGUUUGAAGUAGCAUCACAUAAUUAAAGAAUUUAGCUAGACACAUUUGAGGAGAAAUGUAUCUAAUAAAUUUUGUGCUUACUGUUCGAUAUAUAGGACUAUUCGAUAGGGAAGUCGAUAGUGUGCUUUUUUAUUCUUUUGAAUACAAAUUCAAGGAAGAUUGUUCUCUGUACUUGCUGUUAGAAUUAUGACAAGGCAGAGCAUGUGAAUAUUUACAUGGCAGCAUACUAAACCGCAUUUUUAUUUAGAAACAGUGUGGGUGCAUAUAGUGUUAGGUUAAAUCUUAAGGUUAAAUCUUUCAAGGUUCACUCUACCGUGGUGGUCAAAUUUGUAUAGUAAUUCACUCACAAAAUUUACUUAAAGAUAUUUAUGAUUACUUUUGAGUAAUUUCAACAGAUAUUUUCUAUUUAUCUAAUACAUCAUAUGUGAACCAACUAAAAAUCUGUGUAUAAGUUGUAACAUAAACUGCAUGUAGGCUAUAGAUCACAGCUUUUCCUUGGUCGUUUUGGUCAUUAUUUUGAAGGUAUGUGUUGUGUGUGGGAUUCUUCUUUUUUUAACCUUCUCAGAUGAGUCAUGCUUUUAAAAAGGACUAGUAUACACAAUGGCCCACUAUUAAUAGUAGUUCUAAUAGCAGUAAUGGUGCGGUAGUAGUGCUGGUUAUUUUAUUUUUUAUAUAAACCCAGUAUUUUGUAUAUAUAUGUGUGUAUAUAUAUAUGUAUACAUAUAUAUAGUAGUUCUAGUUAUAUGAAAGAUAUAAUUAGAAAACAGGAGAGAAAGGAAAAAUAUUCCCCAGGCUGUUCUAUGUUCUACCAGGCGAAGGUGUAGAAACACCCCCAAAAAAGAAGAUACUGCUCUCUAAAAUGUUAUAAAGAGAUAAAGACGUUUUAUAUUGAGGAUAAUUUUAAUACUUUAUGUAUUCUUGGCUGAAAUAGCCAGUAGUAUUUAGUACUUAGAAGUUUUAGAUGGAGACAGUUGAUUUCCUAGAAGUUUAUUUGUGAUGUUUAUAGUUUUCCUUAGGUUUCUUGUUAGAGUUAAAGAAAUAAAAAAAAAAAAAAAAACUUUUCGAUAUAGAAAUUUUCAAACAUAGGCAGGAGUACAAUGGUAUAAUAUGAAUCCCCAAGUUUACAUCACCCAGCUUCUUCAGCUAUCCCUACCACUUUAUUUAUUUAUUUCGGUGCAGGGUUUCGGAAGCUGGAAUAUUUUAAAGCAAACCCUAGAUGCCAUGUCAUUUCACUCAAAAGUAUGUCAAUAUAUGUCUCUGAUAAGAACUUAAAAGAAAAACAAAAACCUAGAAUCUAACUGUUCUUUCAUAGUACUUAUUUAUAAGCAUCAUGAAAUAUUUCUUCUGAAUUUCUUGGUACCCUCUCUUGGCAUGUUAUUGUCAGAUUUUAACUUUAAGGAUCACUAAGUACUAUGCACAGAGUGACUGUUUUGUAAAUAUUUAAGAUGGGCUAUCUUAUGUAUUGACAAGGAAUUAACAUUUCAGUAUUACAAGCGUAAACCUACUUUCAACUCAUAGGUGAAUAUUUUCCUUUUUCUAUUUUUGAUCUUUCUCUUAAUUGUAUAUCUGAGAUAGUGUACAAUACUAUCUUUGUCAUCUCUUUUAAUACUCUUGAUAGUCCUGUGAAAUGGAUAGUAUUAUUUUACUUCAGUUGAGAAACAAGCUUAAAGAGAUGAAGUAAUUUGUCCAAGAUUAUAUUCUAAGUGAUAGAGCUGGUAUUCAGCAAAUUCUCCUUGACUUGAAUGUCUAUACCCUUUCCAUAUGGAUGGUUACAGCUAGGGAAAUAUGUGACUGCUGAGAAUGUCAGGGGUUUGUAAAAUGGACACAAAACAAGAAGAGUCACCUGAAAAUAGGAUCCUUUUUUCUUCACUACCAGGAACAAUCGAGUGGCAACAACUCUUUCCCCCCGCCCCGCCCCCGUUGGUACAGUUAAAAGUAAUUUAUUUUGUAAGUGGCAACUUUUCUUUGUCUUCUUUUUUUUCUGUUUAUAUUUUUAUUGUGCUUUAAGUGAAAGUUUACAAAUCAAGUCAGUCUCUCAUAUAAAACCUUAUAUAAAAACCAAAACCAAACCCACUGCCGUCGAGUCAAAUCUGACUCAUAGCAACCCUAUAGGGGACAGAGUAGAACUGCCUGAUAGAGUUUCCAAGGAGCACCUGGCGGAAAAACCUUAUAUACACCUUGCUAUAUACUCCUAGUUGCUCUCCCCCAGUGAGAAAGCACAUUUCUUCCCUCCACCCCGUGUUUAUUCAGCCAGCUUCUUUUCCCCUAGGCCUUCACAUCUUCGCUCCAGAGUGGAGCUCCACACAUAGUCUCAUGUGUCUUCUUGAUCCAAGAAGCCCACUCCUCACCAGUAUCAUUUUCUGUCUUAUAGUCCAGUCCAAUCCCUGUCUGAAGAGUUGGCUUCAGGAAUGGUUCCUGUCUUGGGCUAACAGAAGGUCUGGAGACCAUGACCUCUGGGGUUCCUCUGGUCACAGUCAGACCAUUGAGUCUGGUCUUUUUACGAGAAUUUGGGGUCUACAUCCCACUGCUCUCCUGCUCCUUCAGGGAUUCUCCGUUGUGUUCCCUGUCAUGGCAGUCAUCGGUUAUAGCCAGGCACCAUCUAGUUCUUCUGGUCUCAGGCUGAUGUAGUGUCUGAUUUAUGUGGCCCAUUCUGACUCUUGGGCUCAUAUUUACCUUGUGUCUUUGGUGUUCUUCAUUUUCCUUUGCUCCAUGUGGGUUGAGAGCAAUUGUUGCAUCUUAGAUGGUCCCUUGCAAGUGUUUAAGACCUCAGAUGCCACCCUCCAAAAUGAGAUGCAGAAUGUUUUCUUAAUGGUUUUUAUUAUGCCAGUUGACCUGGAUAUCCUCUGAAACCAGGGUCCCCAAACCCCCGCCCCUGUUACGCUGGCCUUUGAAGCGUUUGGUUUAUUCAGGAACUUCUUUGCUUUUGGUUUAGUCCAGUUGUGCUGACUUCUCCUGUACUGUGUGUUGUCCUUCCCUUCACCUAAAUUGGUUCUUGUCUACUAUCUAAUUAGUGAAUCCCACCUCCCUCCCUCCCUUCCUCCCCCUCUCGUAACCAUCAAAGAAUAUUUUCUUCUCUGUUUAAACUGUUUCUUGACUUCUUAUAAUAGUGGUCUCAUAGAAUAUUUGUCCUUUUGCAACUGACUAAUUUCACUCAGCAUAAUGCCUUUCAGAUUCCUCCAUGGAAUGAAAUGUUUCACAGAUUCAUCGUUGUUCUUUAUAGAUGCAUAAUAUUCCAUUGCGUGAAUAUACCAUAAUUUAUUUACCCAUUCAUCCAUUGAUGGGCACCUUGGUUGCUUCCAUCUUUUUGCUGUUGUAAAUAGUGCUGUUUUGAACAUGGGUGUGGCUAUAUCUGUUGGUGUAACAGCCCUUACUUCUCUAGGAUAUAUUCCAAGGAGUGGGAUUGCUGGAUCAUAUGGUAGUUCUAUUUCUCCGUUUUUGAGGAAGUGCCAAAUCAAUUUCCAAAGUGGUUGUACCAUUUUACAUUCCCACCAGCAGUGUAUAAGUGUUCUAGUCUCUCCACAACCUCUCCAACAUUUAUUAUUUUGUGUUUUUUGGAUUAAUGCCAACCUUGUUGGAGUGAGAUGGAAUCUCAUUGUAGUUUUGAUUUGCAUUUCUCUAAUGGCUAAUGAUCUUGAGCGUUUCCUCACGUAUCUGUUAGCUACCUGAAUGUCUUUAGUGAAGUGCCUGUUCAUAUCUUUUGCCCACUUUUUAAAUGGGUUAUUUGUCUUUUUGUAGUGGAGUUUUUGUAGUAACAUGUAGAUUUUAGAGAUCAGCCGCUCAUCGAAAAUGUCAUAGCUAAAAACUCUUUCCCAAUCUGUAGGUAAUUUUUUUACUCUUUUAGUGAAAUCUUUGGAUGAGCAUAGGUGUUUGACUUUUAGGAGCUCCUGGUUAUCUAAUUUCUCUUUGGCUGUUUGUGCAUUUCUAGUAACGUUUCAUAUACUGUUUCUGCCAUGUAUUAGGGCUCGUAGCGUUGUUCCUAUUUUUUCUUCCAUGAACUUUAUUAUUUUAGAUUUUAUAUUUAGGUCUUUGAUCCAUUUUGAGUUAGUUUGUAUGCAUGGUGUGAGGUAUGGGUCUUGUUUCAUUUUUUUGCACAUGGAUAUCCAGUUAUGCUAGCACCAUUUGUUAAAGAGACUGUCUUUUCCCCAUUUAACAGACUUUGGGCCUUUGUCAAAUAUCAUCUGCUCAUAUGUAGAUGGAUUUAUGUCUGGAUUCUCCGUUCUGUUCCAUUGGUCUAUGUAUCUGUUGUUGUACCAGUACCAAGCUGUUUUAACUACCGUGGUGGUAUAAUAUGUUCUAAAAUCAGGUAGUGUGAGGUCUCCCACUUUGUUCUUCUUUUUCAGUAAUGGUUUACUUAUUUGGGGCCUCUUUCCCUUCCAUAUGAAGUUGGUGGUUUGUUUCUCCAUCUCAUUAAAAAAUGUCACGGGUAUUUGGAUUGGGAUUGCGUUGUAUCUAUAGGUCAUUUUGGGCAGAAUGGACAUUUUUACAGUGUUGAGUUGUCCUAUCCAUGAGCGAGGUAUGUUUUUGAGUGGCAACAACUCUUAUGCAUUGAAGUAUCAUGGAUUUCUCAGGAAGACAGACCAGCAUUAUGAGACAAAACUAAUUUAAUUACUUGUCUGAGUCCAUCAAGAGCAGAAUUUCUGCUUAAUGAAAAAAUUUUCAAGUCCCAAUUUACCUUAAACAGGAUUUGUAGUAGUAUAACGGGAAAAUUUAGAUAUAUUUCACUGCUCUUUGUAUCGAAUCCAUAAAACAGCAGAAAGUGAACUGAGGUUAGAGCUGGCACUGCCAUUAACUAAUUGUAUGACCAUGGGCAAGUCAUUUUACCAUUCUGAGUCUCAGUUUCCUGAUGUGUUAAAUGAGAGGUAUGUAAGAGUACAAUUUAUGAGGUACCUGUUAUUUAACCUCUGUGAAUUGUUUCCUGCAUGUAUUCUCUAUUUGUUUAUAUUGUAUAGUUUGUGUGUACCCGUUUAUGGGGGGGGGGAGGAGGAGUGUGAAUAAUAAUACCAAACAGCAAUUAAAGCAAUUUGGCUUUCAGAUAUAAUUGUUUUGUUUGAGCCAAUAUGAAAUUUCCUCCUAUGCUAACUCUUAGUGGUUGGAGGCAAUCUAACCACAUAAUCAAGCCAUUAUUGAUCUCCUAUUAUGCACCUGGAGCCCUGGUGGCCCAGUGGCGCAUAAUAGGAGGACAAUUUUUUUUUUUUAAUUUGGUAUUAUGCACCUAUCAUUGUGGAAGAACACUAGUACUUUUAAGAUACCACCAUUACUUACAGUUGGUUUGAUAAAUGAGAUUGUGAUAAACAAACAUUUGUAUAAGAGAGUGUUAAUCACUUGAUAUCAUACAGGUAGUAAGUUCUUUAGAGCAGCAAAAAGAGCACAGGAUUAUGAUUCCAAAGAUCUGGCUGGAACCCAGUGCUGCUACUCUUAGCUUAAAAAUCAUAUCACUUUUUUUCCUUAAGUAGCAAUUGUCUACUUCUAAGUGAGGCUAUACAUAAAAUCAUGAAUUUGAUGUGGUAUACAUUUCUCUAAUGUACAUUAAAUAUGUGAUCACUAAAAUAUACAAUAUUAACAAAUACUACUUCAAAUAAUCUCGCAUGCCACCAGUGUUACAUGCUUUGGAAAACACCCAAACUAAUUAUCUCUUAAGAUCCUUCCAGGUCUGAUGAUUUGGGACUCUGCGAUCUGUGAGAAUAGAGAGAAUGUGCAAGGGAGGUGAAAAGGGAAGAUGCUUUGAGGAGUUAAGGAGGCUAUACUGACAGAAGUAGAGUUUGAGAGGUAUUCCAGUUUCAGAUCGUAAAGGGUCUUACAUGCAUCACUGGCUGGUUAUACAAGCAAAACCCAGAAAUGGAAUGUGUUUUUAACCCAACCUGACAUAAAAAUUUUCCUGCAGAUAAUAAUUGAGAAUGUCCCGUAAAUUGGAAACCCUGGUUGUACAGUGGUUAAGAACUGCAUCUGCUAACCAAAAGGUCAGCAGUUCGAAUGCACCAGGCACUCCUUCGAAACUCAGUGGCAGUUCUACUCUGUCCUAUAGAGUUGCGAUGAGUCGGAGUCGACUCGAAGGCAAUAGGUUUUUUUUGUCCAGUAAAAUAACACUGUCAUUUACAGCAAAUACUUUUUAAGAAGCUUCUUGCUAAGAGUGCUUUAUAAUAUAUAGUUGCUUAAUAAUUCAUUGUUCUUUGGAAGGAAAUAAAAUACUUGAACAUUCUAAAAGAUGAAAUGUUACAUUUCUCUUUUGUCCAUUUUUUCUAAUGCGUUCAAAACUAAUUUAGUCAGCAGCAAUCCAAAAAAAAUCUUGUUUACAUGAAAUAUUUAUGUAUUUUAAAAAGAAACAGUUAAAAUGGCUUAUAGACUGUCAUGCAAAUUAAUUUUUCAUCCUUCAACAAACAUUUAUUGAAUACCUACUAUACGCAAGACACUGUGCUUGGUGUUGGAGGAUGCAAAUAUAUGAUAAUAGUUAGCAUUUAUCAAGGGCUUUCUAUGUGUCAUUUCCUAAGGUGCCAGAUGUAUUCUAGGCGUUAUAUCUCAUUUAAUCCCAAGAGAUGUAAACGAGCAAACUGAGGUUAAGUAACUCAGAGCCACUAAGUAAUAGAACUUAUAUUUGAAAGCAAGUCUGUCCAACUGUAAGAUAACUUUGUCCCAAUAUUGUAUGAGACCACUACUGUAAAAACUCAUGAAAAGGUUUACACAAAAAAGAAAAUCUUCGAUGGUUAUGAGAGAGGAGGGGUGGAGAUGGAAAAACACUAAAUACACAAUAGAUAAGUGGUAACUUUGGUGAAGGGGAAGACAAUACACAGUACUGGGGAAGCCAGCACAGCUUUAUAAGGCAAGGUCAUAGAAGUUCCAUAGACACAUCUAAACUACUUGAGGGACCAAAUUGCUGGGCUGAGAGCUGUGGAGACCAUGGUCUCAGGGAACAUCUAGCUCAAUUGGCAUAACAUAGUUUAUAAAGAAAAUGUUCUACGUUCUACUUUGGUGAGUAGUAUCUGGGGUCUUAAAAGCCUGUGAGGAGUCAUCUAAGUUAUUCCACUGGUCUCACCCCUUCGGGAGCAAGGGAGAAUGAAGAAAACUAAAGAUACAAGGGAAAGAUGAGUCCAAAAGGCUAAUGGACCACAUUUGCCGUGGCUUCCACCAGACUGAGUCCAGUAUAAUUAGAUGGUGCCCAGCUACCACCACUGACUGCUCUGACAGGGGUCACAAUAGAGGGUCCCAGAUAGAGCUGGAGAAAAAUGUAGAACAAAAUCUAACUCACAAAAAAAAGACUGGACUUCCUGGCCUGACAGACUGGAGAAACCCUGAGAGAAUGUUCCCUGGGCACCCUUUUACCUCAGUAAUGAACUCACUUCCAGGGGUCACCCCUCAUCCAAAGAUUAGAUGGGCUCAUAAAAUGAGACUAAAGGGGCACACCAGCCCAGGGACAAGGACUAGAAGGCAGGAUGGGACAGGAAAGCUGGUAAACCAAUGUCAUGAAACAAUAUGUAUACUGUUUAAUGAGAAACUAGUUUGCUCUGUAAACCUUCAUCUAAAGUACCAUUAAAAAAAAAAACAAAAAACUCUGCCCCCUGCUCCCCUCCGUAAGGCAUUUAUAAUCUAGAACUGCAUUUUUCAUUGUGGUAGUCUUCAGCCAUGUGUGGCUUUUGAGUAUUCGAAACAGAGCUAGUCUGAAUUGAGAUGCGCUGAAAGUGUAAAAUACGCACUUGACUUAGAAUACUCAGUACAAAAAAAGGAUGUACAAUAUAGUUUUAGAUGAUUAAAUGACCAUAUUUUGGAUAUAUUGGUUAAAUAAGAUAAAUUAUUUAAAUUUUGUUUUUUAAUAUAACUACUAGAAAACAUAAAAUUAUGUAUGUGGAUCACAUAUUUCUUUUAGACUGCACUGAUCUAGAAGAAGGAAAAGAUAUUUGUAUUAAAUCAUAAUACAAAUGUUAAAGUAUUAAGCGCCAUUUAAAAAAAAAAAAGCUCCAAUGCUGUCGAGUUGAUUCCAACUCCUACGACCCUAUAGAACAGAGUAGAACUGCCCCAUAGAGUUUCCAAAGAGCGCCUGGUGGAUUUGAACUGCUGACCUUCUGAUUAGCAGCCAUAGUUUUACCCACUACGCCACCAGGGUUUCCGAGCACCGUAAGAGAGGGGUAAAUUAAAUGAUAUGGGCAUAUGGUGGAAACCCUGGUGGUGUAGUGUUUAAGUGCUAUGGCUGCUAACCAAAAGGUCUUCAGUUUGAAUCCAUCAGGUGCUCCUUGGGAACUCUAUGGGGCGAUUCUACUCAGUCCCAUAGAGUUGCUUUUGCAACAGGUUUGGGCAUAUGGUAAAGGAAAUUGUUAGAAGGAUCAGGAAAAAAAGGUCUUUAGUACCUUUCAUUCUUCUCCUCCUAAAUUGGUGGCUCAUAUCAUGACCUUCUUAAUUUGGCAACUUUAAGAUGCCUCCCAACCUUGUUAACGGAUGGAUCUUCAGCGUGCCUAGUUUAUGAGUGGUAAGGCAUGCAGCGUGCCUAGUUUAUGAGUGGUAAGGCAUGCUGUAGUUCCAUUAACUUGAGAGCAACAAUACUCUGAUAAAACUGGAAGUCAGUAGGUUGAGUCAGAUAAAUUUGAAACUUAAAAAAGAACCUCAGCGAUGGCCCUGAGGACUGUGCCAGCACUAACCCUUGUAUCUGCAUUAAAAUAGAGUGUGGAGGAACAAGAAGUGUGGACUAGAAUCUAAAAAUAACGAAUUAAGAGAAUCAGUCAUCUAUUUUCAUUCAGCUUUAAUAAUUUUACUGAAGUCAGAAAAUUUUGUUAGAUCAAAUGUGUGGUAUUUACAGCACUUUUAAAUUCUCUUGUUGAAGUCUUGGUAACAUGUGUAACUAUAGGAGGAGUCAUAAGGAAAAUGAGUACCAACUUGAAUUCCUGGAUCUGUAGACUUGUAAAAUAGAACGUUUUUGUAUUUCUAAAAAAAAAAAACAAAACUGUGAUGUGUAUUUAAAAUUAUAAGCAAGAUAAACAGUGGGGGGAAAUGAUAGGUGAGAAAAAUUAACCAGGAGAAUGUGGGUAAGUUCUAAGUGAAUUCAAGUGCAAAAGCCUAGUAAAAAAGCAAAAUAAAAAAAUAUGAAGAACAAAAGAAAAAGAAGCCAAAGAAAGUGCUUUGGUACCUUAAAAAUCCAAAGAAAGUGCUUUGGUACCUAGGAAGUGUUCACUUAUUAUUUCACUUUAAACUAGAAAGAUAGCCUUCAAGUCACGUAACAGAAUUCCCAAAGUUCUUACACUGGCCAAAUCAGCCCUGUAAUGUGAUAAAGAAUGCGCAGUAGACAGUAACUUCAUAGAUGGAAUUUAUUAAUCAUGAACAAAAUCUGUCGUGUUAAUUAGUAUCAUCUAGUUAACACACUUAUUACAUGAAAUAAAAAUCAGAAAAAUCCUAUAGUCAUGUGGAACUUGUGAUAGGAGAAGCAAUGUGGUAAAGGGAAAAAUAGAAUGGGCUUUGGUGGUAGGCAGCCCUGGAUUCAAAUAUAGCUCACUUCAACCUUCAAUUUCUUUCUUUCUAAUGCAAUAGUUAGGUAUUUUUGUUAAAAACAAAAAAAUAAAAAAAUGUGUAUGUGAAACAGUGAUAAUUUUAACUUAUUCCUUGAUUUAUAGAUAAUGGCCGUAUUUCCUACCCAGAAACUGUAACUAGUGUUAUUUAUUUUAAUAAUUUUAUUGUAAAAUAUAUAUAACAAAAAUUUUGCCUAUUUAAUGAUGUUUAAUGUCCAGUGGCAUUAAUUACAUUUACUGUGUUAUGUAACCACUGUCCAUUUCCAAAAGUUUUUCAUCAUCCCAAACAGAAACUCAGUACUCCUAAAGCAAUAAUUCCCCAUUCUCCCCACCCCCCAGCCAUGGUACCUGUUGCCACUUAAGUUGAUUCAGAUUCAUAGCAACCCUACAGGACAGAGUAGAACUGCCCCAUAGGGUUUCCAAGGCUAUAAUCUUUACAGAAGCAGACUGCCACACCUUUCUUCUGCAGAGCAGCUGGUAGGUUUGAAGCACCAACCUUUCGUUUAGCAGCCAGGUACUUUACCACUUCUCCACCAGGGCUCUUUCCAGCCUCUAGUAAUCACUAAUAAACUUUUGCCUCUAUGGUUUGCCUAUUCUAGAUAUCUCAUAUAAGUAGGAUCAUGAAAUGUUUGUCCUUUUGUGUCGAAUUUAUUUAAUUUAGCAUGUUUUCAAGGUUCAUCUUGUAGCAUGUAUCAGAACUUCAUUUCUCUUUAUGGCUAACUAAUAUUCCAUUGUGUGGAUAUACCACAUUUUGUUUAUCUAUUCCUCUGUUAUGGAGAGCAAAGAGGAGUUGAAGCACUCACUGAGGAAAAUCAAAGACUACAGCUUUCAGCAUGGAUUAUACCUCAACAUAAAGAAAAUAAAAAUCCUCAUAACUGGGCCAGUAAGCAACAUCAUUAUAAAUGGAGAAAAGAUUGAAGUUGCCAAGGAUUUUGUUUUACUUGGAUCCACAGUCAACGCCCAUGGAAGCAGCAGUCGAGAAAUCAAACUACAUAUUGCAUUGGGCAAAUCUGCUGCAAAAGACCUCUUUAAAGUGUUCAGAAACAAAGAUGUCAGUUUGAGGACUAAGGUGCACCUGACCCAAGCCAUAGUAUUUUCAUUCGCCUUAUAUACAUGCAAAAGCUGGUCAGUGACUACGGAAGACUGAAGAAGAAUUGAUGCCUUUGAAUUACGGCGCUGACGAAGAAUAUUGAAUAUACUAUGGACUUCAGACAGAACGAGCAAAAGUGAAGAUGGCGAGACUUUGUCUCAUGUACUUUGGAUGUGUUAUCAGGAGGGACCAGCCCCUGGAGAAGAACAUGAUGCUUGUUAAAGUAGAGGAUCAGUGAAAGAGAGGAAGACAUCAACAAGAUGGAUUGUCACAGUGGCUGCAACAAUGGGCUCAAGCAUAACAAUGAUUGUGAGGAUGGCGCAGGACUGGGCAGUGUUUUGUUCUGUUGUACAUAGAGUCACUGUGAGUUGGAAACAAGUCAACAGCACCUGAAAACAAAAACAUCAACAACAACAUUCAUCUGUUGCUGUGUUUCCACCCUUUGCCUAUUCUGAAUAAUGCCGCAGUGAACGUUGGUGUACAAGUGUCUGUUUGAUUCCCUGCUUUCAAGUCUUGAGUAUAUACCUACGAGUGGAAUUGCUGGGUCGUAUGGUCAUUCAUUCUAUGUUUAACUUUUUGAGAAACUGCUUUACUGUUUUCUACAGUGACUGCACCAUUUUACAGUCCCAUGAACAGUGCAUGAGGGCUCCAAUUUCUCCACAUCCUCACCAAAACUUGUUAUUUUCCAUUUUUUUGAUCAUAGCCAUCCUAGUGAGUGUGAAGUGGUACCUGUUGUGGCUUUGGUUUGCAUUUCCCUAAUGGCUAAUAACAUUGAGUAUCUUUUUAUGUACUUAUUGGUCAUUUGUGUAUCUUUUUUUGAGAAAUGUCUAUUCAAGUCCUUUGCUCAUUUUUUAAAUUGAGUUGUUUGCCUUUUUGUUGAGUUGUUAGGAAUUCUUUAUAUAUACUUGAUAUUAAACUCAUCAGAUAUAAGUAUUUUCUCCCACUCAGUAGGUUGUCUCUUCACUUGGUUGGUAAAGUCCUUGUCGCAGCAAAGUAAUUUUGAAGUCCUAUUUAUUUUUUCUUUCGUUGCUCAUGCUUUUGGUGUUGUCACUUCACCUGUAAUUCUCCAUACUUUUUAUAUAAUCCUUACAAGGCCCCUUCAAUAAAACUUUGUAGUAAGGUCAAGAACAUUUGUAGAGUCUUUACCAGAUAUUUAAAAUGUGCACACUUUGAGAUUAUGGACUGCAAAAGGCUGAAUACUUUGGGUUAAAGGAAUUCAGUUUUGCCAAAUGUUAUUUAGUUCUUUUGGCCUCAGUGAUGCCUAAAUUUGAAUUGUAUGGUACUGCCUAUCAGACAAAGGAAACUGAACUCUCAUAUUUAAAAAGAAAAAGAAAAUUUUGUUCUGAUAGUCUGACGAAUUCAUUUUUAAAAACAGAUCCUCCCAUCUUCAUAGUGGAAUGACUGGAAACAUAGCUAUCUUAUCACCUGAGAAACCAAAGGCAUUUUUACCCUCUGAAAAGCCAGAUAAUAUUUUUUAAAAAUCACUGAAAUUUUCCUGAAAGUCGUCAACUUUUCAGAGGGAAAGUAGUAUCUGAGGACUUUGCUCCUAUUUUGCUCCAAGUUUGAAAUAUUUUCUCUUGGCUAUGAAGUAGUCUAUAUUAAAGUAUAAAUAAUAAAUGUAAUCAUACUUUAAGGACAGUACAAAAUAUUCUUAGUAUGUAAAGCUUCUUUUAGAGGUAAUUAGACAGCAGAGUUAGUUUUAAAUAGUUUCGAAACCCAUAAAAUUCUUCAAGCUUGUGUUAAAACUCUGAUAGAUUCAUUUGGACCUGAUUGUUUAUUAUGCAUAAAGAUAAUAGCUUUUAGUGUGUGUGUUUCUUUUUAUCAAUAUAAGAGAUUUCAAGAAUUUAUACCAUUACAUAUUUUGGUUUUCAUCUUGAAGAUAUAUCUGACUUAGGAGAAAUUAGGGCAGUGAAAGCAGAAGUCAGAAGAAAUUGGUGUGGUACCCUUCCUCUUCUGGAAACAGAUUCACAUUUUUUAGCCUGAUGUUUUCAGCCUAACUUCUUCAGUCUUACUGCUCAUUAGCUCUCUAUAUAACAUUCUGAUAUCCCACACCUACAAAUAGUGAUACAGGUUUUUGGAGCAUACUGGGUUACAGCUUUUGAGUUUACAGGGUUUAUAUGUAAAUGUUGUUGCGUUCCAGAGUCGAUUCCAACUCAUAAUGACCCUACAGAACAGAGUAAAACUGCUUCAUAGGAUUUCCUAGGCUAUAGUCUUUACUGGAGCAAAUCUCCAGGUCUUUUCUCCUGUGGAGCAGCUAGGGGAACCAGUGAUCUUUGAUAUGCAGCCGAGUGCUUAACCAUUGCACAACCAGGGCUCCUUGUGUAAGUGUUAGUUAUUGGUAAAGAUUUUAUAUUCAAUGAUUUGGGGAUUUUCUGCGCCAAAGUAUUGCCCAAUACCCCUCUCUGCACCAACUCUCCUUUAAGCGUUGUUUUCUGGAUUCAUUGUUUUUAUUAGAUUGAACCAUAAGAAAUUAGCCAUAUUUGAUCUUUUUGACUCUUAAAAAUGGUUUCAUACUGUUCAACCUAAUUGUUCCUCUUGUUUAUCUUUUGUGUAGAAGAUACCUGCCUUUCUGACAAUUUCAUUGUUUUACUUUGUAUCAUCUUGAAACCUACAGUUAAAAAGGGAGAAGAUAUAAUGAAUUAGUUACUUUAGGGUAGGGCUCUCACCUUGUAAGUCUUCCUAAAAAAAAAAAUUUUUUCCAGCUUCUCAUUUGACUUCUUUGUCUCCAGGGCCAAAUGAAGAGAACCACUGUAGAUUAUUUGCUGCUUUUACCCAUUCAUACAGAGCAUUUACGUAUGGGUUGUUAAUUAAUAAACAAGAUUACUACUUGGUGUGAAAAGUUACUUGGGAAUUUUGUUUCACAAGAAAUAAUGUGUCUGAAAAACUUAACUCUUACAAUAGGGGAAAUGUGGAGCCAAACAUAAAUCUCACAGAGGAAUUCAUCAAAUAUUCUUGCUCUUUUAAAACUAUAAGUCUAACAACCUUCUCCCUAAAUACGUAAAUAUUCCCAGUUAUUUCAUGCAACAUUUAGUCUAUGAAAUCCUUAUCUCAUUUGCUGCUCUUGGUAACCCUGUGAGGUAGAUAGGACACACUCACUAUACUCCAGUCCUGUUCCUCAAGAGAGUGACUCAAAAUACAACCUAAUCCUUUAGAUUGAGUCCUGCCUCAUUAACAUUGUAGAGGUUAGGAUUUGCAACAUAUGGAAUAAUCACAUCAGAUCAGUAAAGGGUGGAGAACCUGGCAGUCGUGGCCUAGCUAAGUUGACAUCUAUUAUUGGCAGAUAUUAAAAAAAACUCAAACCAAAACCACUGCGAUCGAGUCGAUUCUGACUCAUAGUGAGCCUAUAGAUAUAGUUCAAUAUAUAACAGCUCUGUUCUUCUUUCCCUAAGCCCCCAGUGGUUUUUUUCUCUUUGUUUCAAUGUUCAGUAUUCAUUAUGUUUUCUUUUAUAUCCUUGAGUCAGCUUUUAAUAGUGGUUUUAAGGUUCUCAUCUACUAAUUCCAUCACCUCUGUCAUUUUUAAGUCUUUUUCUAGUGAUCAAUUUUUCUUCUGGUUAUUGGUCAUAUUUUCCUGCUUCUUUGCAUGUGUAGUAAUUUAUUACUGAAUGUCGGCCAUUGUGAAUUUUAGAUCUUUGAGUGCUGGAUUUUGUUAAAUUCCUUUAAAGAAUGUUGGACUUUGUUCUGGCACAUAAGUGCAAAUCCGUUUGAUCCUUUUGAGGCUUGCUUUUAAGCCUUGUUAGAGUAGAUAGGGUCCGUAGAAUUCUUCAGUAUUGCAAAUUCAGGCUUGAAAUUUUUCUCCGGUUCUUUCAGCCUGAGAAAUGCCAAACAUGUUCUUCCCUUUUGGCUUUCUAAGUCCAGGUCUUUGCACACUUCAUUAUAAUACUUCUUUCUUGAGCCUCCAUUUCAAAUCUUCUGUCCAGCCCUUUUACUUCAUCAUUUCUUCCAUUCGCUUUAGCUCUUCUACGUUCAAUAGUGAGUUUCAGACCCUGUUCGGACAUCCAUUUUGGUCUUUGCUUUCUUCACAUACAAUGUCCUUGAUGUCAUCCCACAACUCGUCUGGUCUUCGGUGAUUAGUGUUCAGUGUGUCAAAUCUAUCCUUCAGAUGGUCUUUAAAUUUAGGUGGAAUACACUGAAGGUUGUACUUUGGCUCUCGUGGACUUGUUUUAAUUUUCUUCAGAUUCAGUGCGAACUUACAUAUGAGCAGUUGAUGGUCUGUUCUGCUUUCAGGACUUGGCCUUGUUCUGACGAUAAAAAAAUUCAGGCCUUGAGUUGCAAUAUUGAAGGGUUUUAUGGGCAAAAUAUUAAAUGACGCAGGGAUCAUCAAAAUUAGAUGGAAAGAAUACAUAGAGUUACUUUACCAAAAAGAAUUGGUCAAUGUUCAGCCAUUUCAGGAGGUAGCUUAUGAUCAAGAACCAAUGGUAUUGAAGGAAGAAGUCCAAAUGCAGUAAAGGCAUUGACAAAAAACAAGGCUCCAGGAAUUGACGGAAUACCAGUUGAGAUGUUUCAACAAACAGAUGCAAUGCUGGAAGUGUUCACUCAUGUAUGCCAAGAAAUUUGGAAAACAGCUGCCUGACCAACUGACUGGAAGAGAUCCAUCCAUAUGUAUAUCCAUUCCAAAGAAAGGUGAUCCAAUGGAAAUUGUCAAACAGUACCAUCAAUAUCACAUGCAAGUAAAAUUUUGCUGAAGAUUAUUGAAAAAUGGUUGAAGCAACUACCUUGACAGGGAACUGCCAGAAAUUCAAGCUGUGGUAAAAAAGAGAAUGUGGAACAAGGGAUAUAAUUGCUAAUGUCAGAUGGGUGCUGGCUGAAAGCAGAGAACACCAGGAAGAUGUUUACCUGUGUUUUAUUGACCGUGCAAAGGCAUUCAACUAAACCGUGUGGAUCAUAACAAAUUAUGGAUAAUGCUGCCGAGAAUGGGAAUUCCAAAACACUUAAUUUUGCUCAUGUGGAGCCUGUACAUAGACCAACAGGCAGUCAUUCAAACAGAACAAGGGAACAGUGUAUGAUUUAAAAUCAGGAAAGGUGUGUGUCAGGGUUGUAUCCUUUUACCAUACUUAUUCAGUCUGCAUGCUGAGCAAAUAAAUAAUCUGAGAAGCUGGACUAUAUGAAGAAGAACACGGCAUCAAGAUGGGAGGAAGACUCAUUAACAACCUGUGAUAUACAAAUGACACAACCGUGCAAAUGACACAACCGUGCGUGCUGAAAGCAAAGAGGACUUGAAGCACUUACUGAUGAAGAUCAAAGACUACAGCCUUCAGUAUGGAUUGCAUCUCAACAUAAAAACUGGACACAACUGGAUCAACAAGCAACAUCAUGAUAAACAGAGAAAAGAUUGAAGUUGUCAAGGAUUUCAUUUUACUUGGAUCCAUAAUCAGCACCCACCCAUGGAAGCCAAAAACCCAAACCCACUGCCAUCGAGUUGAUUCCAACUCAUAGCAGCCCUAUACACCAGUCAAGAAAUCAAACUACCCUGGAGGUCAUGGUCUCCAGACCUUCUGUUAGCCCAAGACAGGAACCAUUCCCAAAGCCAACUCUUCAGACAGGGAUUGGACUGGAGUAUAGGAUAGAAAAUGACUAUAGGAUAGAAAAUGAGGAGUGAGCUUCUUUGGUCAAGGAGACACAUGAGACUGUGUGGGCAGCUCCUGUCUGGAGGGGAGAUAAGAGGGCAGAGGGGGUCAGAAGCUUGCCGAAUGGGCAUGAAAAUAGAGAGUGGAAAGGAGUGUGCUGUCUCAUUAGAGGGAGAGCAACUAGGAGCAUAUAGCAAGGUGUAUAUAAAUUUUGUAUGAGAGACUGACUUAAUUUGUAAACUUCCACUUAAAGCACAAUAAAAAUUAAAAGAAAAAAAAAUCAAACUACAUACUGCAUUGGACAGAUCUGCUGCAAAAGACCUCUUUCAAGUAUUACAAAGCAAAGAUGUCACUUUGAGGACUAAGGUGUGCCUGACCCAAGCCAUGAUAUUUUCAUUCGCCUCAUGUGUAUGCAAAAACUGGACAAUGAAUAAAGAAGACUGAAGAAGAGUUGAUGCCUUUGAAUUAUGGUGUUGGCGAAGAAUAUUGAAUAUACCAUGGACUGCCAGAAGAAUAAACAAAUCUGUCUUGGAAGAAGUACAGCCAGAGUGCUCCUUGAAAGUGAGGAUGGUGAGACUUCAUCUCACAUACUUUGAACAUGUUAUCAGGAGGGACCAGUUCCUGGAGAAGAACAUGCUUGGUAAAGUAGAGGGUCAGCAAAAAAGAAGACGACCCUCAAAGAGAUGGAUUGAGACUGGCUGCAACAAUGGAAUUGUGCAGGACUGGGCAACAUUUCAUUCUUUUGUACGUAGGGUUGCUGUGAAUCAGAAGCAACUGGAUGGCAUCUAACAACAACAGGAUAGUACCCAGAGCAGCCUUUAGGCUACACCUAAUUUAAUUCCAUAGCUAAGGUGUGACUCUUCCGGGACUUUACCCAAUGCCUUGUGUUAUAUGAGAUCUCUCCAUUUUGGCUAGUUAAAAAAAAAAACAACCCAUUGCCUUUGAGUCAGUUCCGACUCAUAGCGACCCUAUAGUAGGAACAUAGUAUUCCCUGCCUUAUGCGAGCUUCUGAAAUUAUCUGGCCUGUUUGCUUUUUUUGGAUCCCUGGUGGCGUAGUGGUCAAGAGUUCAGCUGCCAACCAAAAGGCUAGCAGUUCAAAUCCACCAGCUACUCCAUGGAAACCCUAUGGGGCAGUUCUACUCUGUCCUGUAGGAACCUAUAUGAGUUGAAACUGACUCAACAGCUCCUAACAACACAAUAACAUUGUUUUUCAGUGGUUCUUCCCCUGUACUGAUGUAGUUUUCCCCCACACAUAAGCAGGUCAGUGCUCUCUACUCAAGGGUCCCAUCUGCAGACCUCCUGAGCGCUUUUCUCUGUGCAUUUCUCCUUUUUAGCACUCAUCCUGCAAAUUCUUGCUGCCUUGGCUCCCCCAAACUUCUAUUUUUCUCCUCUGUUCAGGAAGACAACCAGAUCAUAUUUGGGUCCUUCUCCUUGUGCUGCAUCCUGGAAACUGCCUCAUCUUGCGCACCUCAUUUGUUUCUCUUAGUGAUCAUUGUUCUAUGUUGUCUGUUCUCCAAUGACUGGAAAUUAUUUCAUGUACUUUGGUCAUUUACAGUGGGAGUAGGGGAGGGCAGUACCCACAGCAGUUAAUCCCUCACGUCUGAACAUGGAAAUCAUCGCUCCUUGAAUUUUAAAUUUUGACACCCUAAAUGGCACUGUUUUUUUUUUUUUAAUGGAAGUUAAUGGGGGAGAGAAUUUAUUAAAAGGAGAUUAAGAAUUAUUUAUUAAAAUUGCAAUAUAUAUUUGUAUCCUUUGGUCCAACAGUUGUACUUCUGAAAAUUUAUUUAAUUUACACAUAAGAAGUAUAACAAAUGUAGAGGGUGUUUUUUUAAAGCAUUUGUUGUAAUAACAAAUGGUUGGAAACAACCCAACAUUCUCCAGUAACGGAUUGAAUAAAUAAGUUACAGUGCUUCUAUAUCAUGAACUAUUGUAUUGCUGUGAAAAAGAAUGAAGCAGCUCUUUAUGUCUGGUAUGGAAAGAUCUGCAAGAUCUGUUAUUAAAUGAAGAAAGCAGAAUUAUAACUCCAUCUGUCUGCUACCUUUUUUGUAAUCAAGGAGGAAAAUUAAGAAUAUUUGUACUUGCAUUAAAAUACUCUGGAAGGAUACAAAAAAAAAAAUGAAGUGCUUACCUUUGUGGGGAGGAGAACUUAGGCUAAUGGAGGAUAAAGAUGGGUUGAAAACUUUCCACAGAAUUAUUUUUUAAUAUAAAAAAAAAUUUCAGCCAUAUGCAUGAACUAUUUAACAUUUUUUAAAAAUUAAGGUAAAAAUCUUUUUUCCAGUGCCCCAUAUUGACUGACAAAACUGCUUUACCAUGAGAAGUCCAAAGGUAUGAUUUCAUUGUGUCAGGAGGGUCAACUUUUGUUGUAACUAGGUUCAGCCACGCCUUUUACUGAUUUAUAACAAAAGAUUUCCUUUUAGUUAAUGUUUUACUUACGGCAAAGUUAACUGCUGUAACAAACCCAGAAGUAUCAGUGGUUUAACAAAGAGAAGUAUUUUCAAUAUUGGCAUUCUUGGUCAGCGGUGGACUACCUAGAGAUUCAGGAACUCUGGUUCCUACCAUGUUGUGGUUGCAUUUUCUAGGACUUUGGAGUCUUCUGCUUUUAGGCAGGAGAGUAAAGAAGUCCUGCCUGCUGCUUUUUCUUUUUUUGCCCCUUAUUUCUUUUCUUUUUUAAACAUUGAGAUGUGAUUCAUAUACUCUGAAAUUUACCUUUUUAACCUAAACAGUUAAGUGCUGGGCUACUAAUCGUAAGGUUGGUGGUUGAAUCCACCCGUAGGCCUCAGAAGAAAGGCCUGGUGAUCUGCUUCCAAAAGAUCACAGCCAUCAAAAAACCUUAUAGAGCUCAGUUCUACUCUGCAACACAUGGGGUCGCCAGGAGUUGGAAUCCACUCGACAGCAACUGCUUUUGUUGUUGUUUUGUUUUUUAAAAAGCGCCAUCCCCCAGGCAGUAACCUCUGCUUUUGUUCUCAUAUCUCCUGACUAGGCAGCAGCCUCCCAAUUGACAGCUCCACACUAUACUGUGAAAAACUCAUUGCCUCAAGUUGAUUUCUACUUACAGUAACCCUAUAGGACAGAGUAGAAGUGCCCCGUAGGGUUUCCAAGGAGCGCUAGUGGAUUCGAACUGCUAACGUUUUGGUUAGCAGCCGAACGCUUAACCACUGGCGCCACCAGGGCUCCACAUUAUGAGAAAGGGGGCACAAAAUUUUAGUGGAUAGCAGGCUCUAUCAAAGUUAUGUUGAGCAAAUGAGGUCAAGUUUAUUUUUGUGCCAGCCCUUUUUUUUUUUGUUGUUAUAUCGAGAUGUUUAUGUUCCUUCCAGUUUUCUCUAGGAAGAUGAACGUUGUUAAGUAAUUAAGUUUUUCUUUUUUCUGCACUAAGUGUGCAUAAAGGGCGAUACUUCAGUUUUUAGACUUCAGGUUUUAGACUUCAGUUUUUAGUGUUAUAAUCUCUUUGAUUUAAAGUAUGGAAGCAAUUUCAGCCUUGUGUGGUGAUUUUAUACUUGCUGCAGGGUCAAGACCUUGUGUCCUAUCCCUGGUCAUUAAGCCCUAAGCCUUAGGUUAGUGAGUCAGACUCUCUUCUUCCUUCCUCCCCUUCUUGAUGCCUUAGUGGGUUUUUUUUUUUUUAAAUAAUUUUUAUUGUGCUUUAAGUGAACGUUUACAAAUCAAGUCAGUCUGUCAUACAUAAGCUUAUAUACACCUUACUCCAUACUCCCACCUACUCUCCCCCUAAUGAGUCAGGCCGCUCCCUCCUUCCAGUCUCUCCUUUUGUGACGAUUUCGCCAGUUUCUAACCCUCUCUACCCUCCCAUCUCCCCUCCAGACAGGAGAUGCUAACACAGUCUCAAGUGUCCACCUGAUACAAGUAGCUCACUCUUCGUCAGCAUCUCUUUCCAACCCAUUGUCCAGUCCCUUCUAUGUCUGAUGAGUAGUCUUCAGGAAUGGUUCCUGUCCUGGGCCAACAGAAGGUUUGGGGACCAUGACCGCCGGGAUUCCUCUAGUCUCAGUCAGACCAUUAAGUCUGGUCUUUUUAUGAGAAUUUCGGGUCUGCAUCCCACUGUUCUGCUGCCUUAGGUGUUCUCUGUUGUGCUCCCUGUCAGGGCAGUCAUCGGUUGCGGCUGGACACCAUCUAGUUCUUCUGGUCUCAGGAUGAUGUAAGUCUCUGGUUCAUGUGGCCCUUUCUGUCUCUUGGGCUCUUAGUUAUCCUGUGACCUUGGUGUUCUUCAUUCUCCUUUGAUCCAGGUGGGUUGAGAUCAAUUGAUGCAUCUAAGAUGGCUGCUUGUUAGCAUUUAAGACCCCAGACACCACAUUUCAAAGUGGGAUGCAGAAUGUUUUCACAGUAGUAGUAUUUUGCCAAUUGACCUAGAAGUCCCCUUAAGCCAUAGUCCCCAAACCCCCGCCUUUGCUCCGCUGACCUUUGAAGCAUUCAGUUUAUCCUGGAAACUUCUUUGCUUUUGGUCCAGUCCAGUUGAGCUGACCUUCCCUGUAUUGAGUGUUGUCCUUCCCUUUACCUAAAGUAGUUCUUAUCUACUAUCUAAUCAGUAAAUAACCCUCUCCCACCCUCCCCGCCUCCCCCAUCUUGUAACCACAAAAGAAUGUGUUCUUCUCAGUUUAUACUAUUUCUCAAGAUCUUAUAAUAGUGGUCUUAUCCAAUAUUUGUCCUUUUGCAUCUGACUAAUUUCACUCAGCAUAAUGCCUUCCAGGUUCCUCCAUGUUAUGAAAUGUUUCACAGAUUCAUCACUGUUCUUUAGUGAUGCAUAGUAUUCCAUUGUGUGAAUAUACCAUAAUUUAUUUAUCCAAUCAUCCGUUGAUGGACACCUUGGUUACUUCCAGCUUUUUGUUGUUGUAAACAGUGCUGCAAUAAACAUGGGUGUGCAUAUAUCUGUUAGUGUAAGGGCUCUUAUUUCUCUAGGAUAUAUUCCAAGGAGUGGGAUUUCUGGGUUGUAUGGUAGUUCUAUUUCUAACUUUUUAAGGAAACACCAGAUAGAUUUCCAAAGUGGUUGUACCAUUUUACAUUCCCACCAGCAGCGUAUAAGAGUUCCAAUGUCUCUGCAGCCUCUCCAACAUUUAUUAUUUUGUGUUUUUUGGAUUAAUGCCAGCCUUGUUGGAGUGAGGUGGAAUCUCAUCUGUAGUUUUAAUUUGCAUUUCUCUAAUUUAAUGGCUAAUGAUCAAAAGCAUUUUCUCAUGUAUCUGUUAGCUGCCUGAAUAUCUUCUUUAGUGAAGUGUGUGUUCAUAUCUUUUGCCCACUUUUUGAUUGGGUUGUUUGUCUUUUUGUGGUUGAGUUUUAACAGAAUCAUAUAGGUUUUAGAGAUCAGGCGCUGGUCGGAGAUGUCAUAGCUGAAAAUUCUUUCCCAAUCUGUAGGUGGUCUUUUUACUCUUUUGGUGAAGUCUUUAGAUGAGCAUAGGUGUUUGAUUUUUAGGAGCUCCCAGUUAUCUGGUUUCUCUUUGUCAUUUUUGGUAAUGUUUUAUAUUCUGUUUAUGCCUUGUAUUAGGGCUCCUAACGUUGUCCCUAUUUUUUCUUCCGUGAUCUUUAUCGUUUUAGUCUUUAUGUUUAGGUCUUUGAUCCACUUGGAGUUAGUUUUUGUGCAUGGUGUGAGGUCUGGGUCCUGUUUCAUUUUUUUGCAAAUGGAUAUCCAGUUAUGCCAGCACCGUUUGUUAAAAAGACUAUCUUUUCCCCAAUUAACUGACAUUGGGCCUUUGUCAAAUAUCAGCUGCUCGUAUGUGGAUGGAUUUAUAUCUGGGUUCUCAAUUCGAUGCCCUAGUUUUUAAUCCAUCCUUCCUUUUUUUCCUGACACCUAGGGCAUUCUUUCUUUUUCUCUCCUGAGCUCAUCUAUACAUUUAAAAGGAACUCUUAAGUUAUUAUAGUUGAAAGCUUUUCAGGUUAUAUUCGCUGCAGGAUAAAAAGUUAAACAUACAUAUUGCAGGAACCUGGAGUUCUUGGCUUUUGAGGCAGCCAUUCUUCAGUCAACUAACCAUUGUUCAAAAGGGACAAGGAGAUAGGUUAACAUUUAUUGGACAGUUACUGUGUGCUUGUGUACAUUAUCUUAUUUAAUCACCACUGUCACUCUAAGGGAGUCCUGGUGGCACAGUGGUUAAGAGCUCAGCUGCUAGCCAGAAGGUUGGCAGUUUGAAUCUACCAGCUGCACCUUGGAAACCCUAUGGAGCUUUUCUGCUCUGUCCUGUAGGGUUGCUAUGAGUCGGCAUCAACUUGAUGGCAGUGGGUUUGUUUGUUUUGGUCACUCUAGAGGAGCCCUGGUGGCACAGUGGUUAAGCACUCAGCUGCUAACUGAAAGGUUGGCGGUUCAAACCCACUGGGUACUCCGUGGGAGAAAGAUGUGGCAGCCUGCUUCCGUAAAGAUUUACACCCUUGGAAACUAUGGGGCAGUUCUACCCUGUCCUGUAGGGUUGCUUUGAGUUGGAAUUGACUUGACGGCAACUUUUUUUUUUUUUUUUUUUUCAGUGAAUGUGUGUCUACAUUAGAUUUGGGUUUGUUUUUGAGGAAAUGUGGAAGUCAUUGAAGAUUUUUGAGUAGGAGAAUGGCAUAAUUAAAUAGCUAAGGAAAUUGUUCUGGUGGCAAUAUGGGUUGAAGUAAGGAAAGUCUGAAGGAGCUUAUUGGGUAAGCUGCUGUUGUAAUUAAACCUUGAAGAAAAACCUGGAUGAUACUGUACCAGUAGCAGUGGAGAUGGAAAUGGAAUUCAUGGGAAACUCAUUACCGCAUUACUCUAAUUACCCAGAAAAAAUUUAGAAUUCUUUUGUUCAUUUGACAAAUUUUGGACAAAUAUUAUUUACUAGAUGCAGAAACUAAUCAUAGGUGCUGGGAAUUGGUGAUUAUCAGACUCCCUUACUUUCAUCUAGACAUGAUCCUUAUUCUUGUAGCUUACCAACUAGUGGAAGAGGUAGCCAUUAAAGAAUCACAAAAUAAACGGAAAAUUAUAGUUAAGUGCAUUGAAGGAGAGAUACGUAGAAUUUGGCUAAUCCAGAGAGUCAGGAAAUGUUUUUAUGAGAAAAUGGUGAUUGAGCUUAAGGAAUAGUAGAAUUUAACCAAAUCAAGAAAAGUCAAAGUUUAACUGUUAGGCUACCUCUAAAAAUAUGUAAUUCUUAGCUUGUGUUGAGUUUGAAAUGACAGCCAGGCAUUUCAAGCAAUUUCCAGUAAGAGGAUAUAAAUUUAGAACUGAAUCUAAAUUUUAGAGUCAUUCAGCUUAAAAGGAUAUAGUUGAAGCUAUGAAAACGGUUGAGCCCUCUUAAAGAAUGUAUAAAUAGAAAGUAGGAUUCCAAGAACUGAGCCCUGGGGAACACUCACAAUUAAGGGUUGGAAAGAGGCAUGUUGAGGGAAUUGCAGGAAACUGAAGGAGUUGUUGAGAGUUAAAAGAAGUUUUAGAGGAGUUGAGUUGUGAAAGAAGUGAGAGUAAUCGCUAGGAUAAAUAGAAUAACAUGGGCAUGGUCAAUAACUGACAAGAGAGCAUGGUUUUUGGUAAAACAGAGGUAGAACAGUUUCUGUAGAACCCAGAUUUCAGCCUAUUUUAGACUAUUUGAGAAGUUUGAUAGUGGAAAGAAGGUGAGAAACAGGAUGAUAUCUAGAAGUGAGGACAUCCCCCUUGUGUUGUAAAGAUUUUUCAAGAUUAAGGAAACCUAUGCUAAUUUAAAGACAAAGAGAAAAACUAAUAGAAGGUAAAAGAUUGGAGAGAUUGGAAAGUAAGAGGGUAGAUGUUCAUAAGGAAAGAAAGGGAGGUAUCAGAAAACAUGAUUUGUAAUUUUUUUAAGAACUUAAAGGCUAAAGCCCUUUUGAGUUUCAUAAACUUUAUCAGUUCCCAAGAGAAUUGCUACCUCAGAUUUACCCUAUGACCCACAGAGUAAAGAUUGGACUCUAUGUUUUGGUUUUUCUUUCCUUAGAACCUUUUCACUCUGAAGGUAAAUUUAAGCAAAACUAAAUAGAGAUGUUUAGCCCUGUUGACCACAAUAAUUGUGUAGCCACUUUCUAAAUUGUCGCCAUGUUGAUUAACAUUGCAAGGCAGUUUUAGAGUGGAGUUAAACAGUUGGGGCUUUGUGCCCCACAAAUAUAGUGUUUAGUAAGCCUGGAAGGCUUCCAGGAAAGUAGAACAAAAAUGGUUUAAAUGCCAUUCUGAAAUAGAUCCAGAACAGUUAGGAAAAGUACCAUAAGUAGCUUCUGUAAAGAAGAAUUAUAACUUACAUAGGCAGUUUUUAGGAAUGCAAAAUGUGAGGAUCACGAAGUGUGAACAAUCUGGCUCCAACUAGAAGUUUUUCAAUAAAUCACAUAAUGUCUAAACUGUAUCAGUGUGUCGGCAGAUUUUGGGUCUAAGCACUAGGCCUCUUAGACUCUGAAUAUAUAUGCAUGCUUGCCUGCAACACAAUGUUGUAUUCCCAGCUCCUAGUCCAGUGCCUCCCAUGUGUUCAACAAAUAUUUCUUGAAAAAAAGAAGGCAACUGUGUACUUGCUAUGAGUAAUUCCAAACUUAAUGAUUUUAAGUUUCAUGGGCCACUAGUGCAAACAAAGAGUACCUGGCUUAAUAGCUUGUUUUCAUACUCCACAUCCAGCCUACAGUUUGUUUUGUUUUGUUUUAUCACACAAAUAACAUAUAACCAAAAACAACCCCAAAUUUAGGCCAUUUACUUUUUUUUUUAUCUUGAUUUAAGUGAAAGUUUACAAACCAAGUUAGUCUGUCAUACAAAAACUUAUAUACACCUUGCUAUAUACUCGUAGUUGUUCUCCGUCUAGUGACACAACACACUCCUUCCCUCUGCUCUCUGUUUUUGUGUCCAUUCGGCCAGCUUCUGCCCCCUCUCCCCUCUCAUCUCUUCUCCAGACAGGAGCUACCCACAUAGUUUCAUGUGUCUACUUGGUCAAGGAGCUCACUCUUCACCAGUAUCAUUUUCUAUCCCAUAGUCCAGUCCAAUCCCGGUCUGAAGAGUUGGCUUCAAGAAUGGUUCCUGGCUUGGACUAACAGAAGGUCUGGGAACCAUGACCUCUGGGGUCCUCCUAGUCUCAGUUGGACCAUUAAGUCUGGUCUUUUUACAAGAAUAUGGGGUCUCCAUCCCACUGCUCUCCUGCUCCCUCAGGGGUUCUCUGUUGUGUUCCCUGUCAGGGCAGCCAUGGGUUGUAGCCAGGCACCAUCUAGUUCUUCUGGUUUCAGGCUGAUGAAGUCUCUGGUUUAUGUGGCCCAUUCUGUCUCUUGGGCUUAAAAUUACCUUGUGUCUUUGAUGUUCUUCAUUCUCCUUUGCUCCAUGUGGGUUGAGACCAAUUGAUGCAUCUUAGAUGGCCGCUUACUAGCGUUUAAGACCCCAGACGCCACUCUGCAAAGUGGGAUGCAGAAUAUUUUCUUAAUAGAUUUUAUUAUGCCAAUUGAUUUAGAUAUCCCCUGAAACCAUGGUCCCCAAACCCCUGCCCCUGCUACGCUGGCCUUCGAAGCAUUCAGUUUAUUCAGGAAACUUCUUUGCUUUUGGUUUAGUCCAGUUGUGCUACCUCUCCUGUACUGUGUGUUGUCUUUCCCUUCCCUAAAAUAGUUCUUACCUACUAUCUAAUUAGUAAAAACCCCCUCUCCCUCCCUUCCCCCUCUCGUAACCAUCAAAGAAUAUUCUCUUCUCUGUUUAAACUAUUUCUCAAAUUCUUAAAAUAGUGGCGUUAUACAAUAUUUGUUCUUUUGCAGCUAAUUUAACUCAGCUGUCCACUUUUAAGUAUUUUAUUUUGGAAUACUUUCAGACUUCAGAAAAGUUGUAAAAACAUUAUAAAGAAUUCCCAUUUACUCCCCACCCCAAAAUAAAUGAAUGAAUGAAACCAAACCCAUGGCUGAUUUCUAACUCAUAGCUACCCUAUAGGACAGAGUAGAACUGCCCCAUGAGGUUUCCAAGGCUGUAAUCUUUAUGCAGAGUGGCGGAGAGAUUCCAACGGCCGACCAUUCUGUUAGCAGCCAAGUGCUUAGCCCCUGCACCACCACAUACUAUUCACUCAGAUUUCCUAAAUGUUAAUAUUUUAUCUCGUUUACUUUAUCUCUGUGUGUGUCUGUCUUUUCUCCCUGUAUGUCACACUCUCUCUGUGUCUAUCUCUUCCUCUCACUCUCUUGGUGGCAUGAUUUAUUAUAUUUCAUUAGUUUAUUUUCUGAAAAGGUGGAGAAUAAGUUGCAGACAUAAUCCUCUAAAAAAAGGCAAGGAUAUUGUCAAACUAAUUACAAUACAGUUAUUUCAUCUCCUAAAAACAAGGAUAUUCAUUCUCUAACUAACCACAGAACAAAUGUAAAAAUUAAAGUUAGCACUGAUAUAUUAUUGUCCCAAAAAAAAAAAUUUUUUUUUCCCCAUUAGUGUCCACUAUAGCAAAAGAAAAAAAAUUCUGAUGAGGAUAUGAUCCAGGACCAUAUAUUGCAUUUAGUUAUCUCUUUAGUUCCUACUCUAGAAAAAUUCCUCAGUCUUUGUCUUUCAUGAUCUUGACAUUUUUGAAGAGUACUGGCCAUUUAUUAUAUAGAAUGUCCUUCAGUUUGGGUUUAUCUGAUUAUUUCAUUUGAUGAGUUUCAGAUUAUUUUUUUUUGACAGGAAUACCACAAAAGUGGUGUUGUUUCCUUUUCAGUGCAUCAUGAUGGCAGUUUUCCAUUGUUGGUGAUAUUUGAUCACAUGAUUUAGGUGGUGGUGUGUGCCAGGUUUCUCCACUGUAAAGUUACUGUUUCCCAUUUGUAAUUAAUAAGUAAUUUGUGGAAAGAUAUUUGGAGACUAUGUAAAUAUCCUGUUUCUCAUCAGACUUCUCCCUGCUGGUUUUUAAGCAUUCAUUGAUGUUUUUUGCCUAAAUCCAUUAUUGCUAUGAUGGUUAUCAAAUGAUUUUCUAAUUUUAAUCCUGUUUUAGUCUAUAUUUUUUGUGGGUUUUUUUUUCAUAUACAAGCUAUUAGAUACAUGUAUAUUUUCUUAUUUCACCUGCUUUCUUACCCACAUGGUAACAUACUGAAUACUUUGUUGCACUUUACUUUUUUCUUUUAAUAUUAUUUCCUGGAAAUCACUUUGUAUCAGUUCCUAGAGUUCUUCCUCAUUCUUUGUUAGAGCUGCCUGGUACUCUGCUGGGUGGAUGUAACAGUUUACUCAACCGCUCUCCUAUGCUUGGACAAUUAAGUUGUUUACACUAUAUUGCAGUUAUAGAGAAUGCUGCAAUGAAUACCAUUGUAAUUUUAGUUUCACAUGGUUGGAAGUAAUAUUCCUAGAAGUGGGAUUGCUUGCAUUUUGUUAGUUUUUAUUAUUGAACCAGCCACAUAUAAAAAGUCAAAAGCAAAUCAAAAACAUUUGAGGUUUUGUGCAAUUUCUUGUUCACAAACAUUUGUUGAUUUUUAAUAGCUAUUAAUAGUUGACUCCCCAAAUAUUUCUAAUAGGUAAUGUAACCUGGCAGGAAAAUGCCACUGAACUGAAUUGCUCUAAAAAGUAAACAUGCUAAAGUGAAACAGGAAGCAUCGCCUUAUCUCAGUAUAGCCCGUUCAAAUCAAUAAACUACUCUCCUCUAAGUCACAAAAUAUGGCAUAAUAUUUCAUAGUUUUAAGCUUAAUGUAGGAAUUCUUCUGUGUAUCUCUGCAAAUAAUGUGAAGUAUAAGUCUGUUAUUCUUUAGAAGGGAGAAAAACUAGAGAUAUAUCAGCAAAUUAAAAAAAUUGACAGCUGAUAGAAUUUUAAAACUUCAUGCAUUUAUUGUUAGUGUAGCUUGUGAUGCUCAGGGACUUUCUAUGAUGUUACUUUUUGCUACCCAACUCUUUAAAAUCUCCCAUUUACCUGACAGGCCCAGAAAAGUCUCACCAGGAUUGGUUCUUAUUUCCAAUAGGAGCAACAUUUUUAGUUCUUUGAGUUAGCAUCUUUAAUAUUUAAUAACCUUAAGGAUUUAGACAUGUGUUUUUUAAAACGGUGUAACAUGAGACUCAGCUGUUUUAGAAAAGUUAUGCUAAUAUCUUUCAAUGAAGAUCACUUGAAUUUUAAAACACACUUAAUGCAUUUGACUUCCCGAAUCCUGGCAUGUUAUUGCUAUUCAACAUUCCUGGUUCCGCCUUGAACCCUAUGGUUCAGGAUCCCAACCCAUUUAUAUGGGUUAUUGAGAGCUAGCUCUUAAUAAAUGCAGAACUUUCAGAACACAUUUACCUAUUUUCUGCUAAAGAUUACUGAAAUGCCUUGUAAGAGAAACAUUGCCUCGGAGAAAAACAUUGUUUCGAAGAUCUUUUCUUAAAUCCCCUUUUAACAGGAUGACUCAAGAUAUUCUAUGCAAAUAUAUCGGGGGAGGCACACGACAGUAUCUAUACACCAGUUAACUUUUUUUGUGUACUGAAGCAUAGCAAGUAGAAUAGGAGUGUAUGUUAAGGAAAUACCCCUGUGGGCACCAUUUAUUCUGGCAAGCACAUGGAUGUAGUCUCUCCCCUUCCUUUUUUAUUCAAGUAGUGCAUGUAUAUAGUUGUAAAAGUCAGAGUGCUACCCAGUUUUUAAUGAAAAGCUUCGCGUCCUAUCUUAUCUCUCCCCACUUUCAACACUUCUAGCUCUUUAUUCUCGUAUUUAUCUCAUUUUGAAAUAGAAUACAUAUGCCAUUGUCUUGAUUUUUUAAUAUUAGACAUUAUCUUUUGAUUUCUUACACUUCACAUUUAGUCUUCAUAAAACACACUUGACGGUAUUUACUCUGAAAUUGAACUUUACAGAGAAGAAAUCCUACAUAGCUAAGGGAUUAAAUGAACUACGCUGCACCACAGACAGUGUUCAGAAAGUCAGUGGGUGUAGAAUACAGCAUCUGUUGGCUGAGUUCUGCAGAAAGCACCUGCUUUAAUGAAAUCAAUUUUCAUCCAUUUGGUCUUGUCUCAGUCUCAUUCUUAUUCAUCAAUCAUGAGUCAUCAAUGUGUCAUAUAAUAAACAUAUUUUUAAAAAGAGAUCAAAUUCACUGCUACCGAGGUCUAACUUGUUUAAAAAUAAAAUAAAAUAAACCCAAAGUUGUGCCUUAUUCAUUCUUUUAGUUUCAGCAGAGAACAAGGAGCAAAUCUAAGUUGUUUGAGUGUGAAGUAAGAAUACUUAGAGUAAAACAUGAGAUUCGCUCUCCCACUUUACUAUUUUGUAUUUUUCAUUGUUAUAUUUGGGAUCCUUGUUACGGAUUACAGUCCUUUAACUACGUUUCUUUUGCAAUUCUGGGCCCCAUUAGUCACAGCCUGUUUUAACUUUGAAGAGUUCUUUGUUUGAAAACAUUUCUAGAAUCUUCCUUUUGGUUGUUUUCUCAGUGACUCAGUUGAUCAGAAUAGGUUUACUUUACUUACUUGCAUAUGUCUGGGUUUUAAAUUUGGAAAUGUUUUCUUCUACCGUCAGUAGAGCUAAGGGUAUAUACCUGGGCAUCUUGACAGAUUUUCUUCUGAAUUGGCAUUAGUUUUUCAGUUUCUUUCGGUAGUCACUGAAAGUAUGUCUAUAUAAAGCUCACCAGAAAAAAAAAAAAAAAACUGUUGCCCGCGAGUUGAUUCCAACUCAUAGCGACCUUACAGGACACAGUAGAACUGCCCCGUAGGGUUGCCAGGGAGCAGCUGGUGGAUUCCAGCAGCCGACCUUUUUGGUUAGCAGCCAGAGCUCUCAACCACUGUCACCAGGGCUCCAUAAAGCUCACUGGUAAGUGUAUUUCACCUUUUAUUAAAGAAGUGCAUAUUAGGACAGCACAAAUAUAAAAGCUGUUGCCUUGAUCUUCGCUUUUUGCUGGUCCAGAGGCUUACUUUUCUGUCUAGGUGGUUAUCGUGGGGUGGAUAGGUUCUUGCUGUUAGCAUGAAUGAAUAGUAUGAUCCUUCGAGAAUUAUUUUUCAUGUACUUAGGUUGAAGCCCAGAUUUAUGGGGCGGAGGGAUGUCCCAUGUAUGAAUUAUAAUAGAAGUCAUUAGAAAAAAAAGGAAUUUGACUAUAAUAAGAUCUGAGUUUCUAUCCUCCUAAAAUCAGAAUUCGUUAGAAUUCACAUACAGAGUAUGCCAUGUCCUUUAAUAAGUAAAAAUAUUUCUUCAGCUGCACAUUGAGGAUCUUAGUAGUAAAGAAAAUCUUGUUAAAAGUUAUAUUUCAAAGAAAGAGAAUAAAAGAGAAUUUCUUCAGUAAGCUUCAUUGUUUUUUGGCCUAGCAGUUUUUGUUAAAACAUCAUAAAAUACCUUUUAAAAAAUCUAGAGGAGAUCUGUUUUCUAAUUUCUUCAGCGACCUUGUUUUAUGAAGCACCUGUUUAUGCCCACUUAAAUCUUAGAACAGACAGAGGUUGGCAAACUACCGCUCACUGACCAAACCCAGCCUACAGCCGGUUUUUGCAUAGCUUGGGAGGUAAUAAUGGUAUUUGAAGGGUUGUUAAAAAAAAAAAAAAGAAAAGAAAAUGAUGCUGCAGAGAUAGUUUGUGGGCCUUCACACCUAAAAUAAUUACUAUUUAUCUCUUCACAGAAAAAAUUUACUGGUGUCUAUCUUAGAUUAUAGUAUAUAAUAUACAUGCACUGUAAGCCAUCUGAAUUGGCAUCAUCUUCACUUAAAUGUUUUAGUGUAUUCUCUUUUUGCAUAUUCUGCAUUUUUAUUUCUAUUCACUGAAAUUAUCAGUCUUUAUAGUUGGUAUGACCUUUUAUUAGUCAGCCAGAUAUGUAUACGUGACACCACAGACUUACAUUAAACUGGUUUAAAUUUCUGAGAGAGAGCCAUUUGGCUUUGCAUCUGGAUGUGUAUGUUUUCUUAAUACUGCUUUACAGAUGCUAAUGAAUUUGAGUAUUGCCAUUUCUCUUUGGAAUCAUUGAUAUCUUUUCUCAUUGAUAUCUUUGCCUACAGCAUGGAGAGAGAGUUACUUUGAGGCUGUAUUUUGGUGUUAAAUUGGUUUGUAUGGUUGGCUUGGUUAAGAUUUUUAAUACUGGUAGGCAACUUCCAGCAAAUAUACCUGAUUGCCUGGUUAUAAUGCAUUGUCAUUUAUCAUAUUUUAUUGACUUUGUUGUUGUUAGGUCCUGUCAGGUUAGUUCCAACUCAUAGCAACCCUACGUACAACAGAAAGAAACGCUGCGCAACUGCGCCAUCCUUGGAAUUGUUGCUGUGUUUGAACCCAUUGUUGCAGCCACUGUGUCAGUCCAUCUCCUUGAGAGUCUUCCUCUUUUUUGCCGACCCUCUACUUUAUCAAGCAUGAUGUCCUUCUCCAGGGACUUCUCCCUCCUAAUACCAUGACCAAAGUACAUGAGAUGAAAGUCUUGCCAUCCUUGCUUCUGAGGAACAUACUUUUUUUCACCUUAACAUCUUUGAAAUCAGGAUGCAUCUUAAAAUUUAUGACAUCUUAUAUUUGGCAGGGAUCCCCUUCACCUAACAGUACAUAAAAAUAAUGGUGCAUCUUAAAAUCAGUAAACUAUGGUUCAUAUAUUCUACUCAUUUAUAUUUCUUGUUAGGUGCAUUGUUUUCUUGUUUCUUGUAUUAAUUCCACCCCUUACUACUUUUAACUUCCAGCCAAAAUUUAUAUUGUGGAAAUCUUUUAUCAUUUAUGGGUUUGCUUUGGGGUUAUUUCACUGUUGAGAUUUGGAUAUUGAGUGAGAUAUCACUCACAUCUAGUCAACAGAGCAACUUAGAAAAACAAACUAUUAACAUAAGGAAAUGUGGCACAGUAUUCUAAUAUGUUACUGUUCGUUAGUUAACAGAUGGCCUAUAGCCUGGUCUUUAUAUUUUGCUGAAUAUAGUACUGCAGAAGAACAUUAACCAGAAAAUCUGUUUAGCUUUAGCCUUAACUGAGAUUUUCUUGGAUGCUUGCAACUGGGAACACCCUGUGAAUUUAAAUAGUAAUCCCCUGUUAACGGGACAAUAUUUGAAAUUAUGUAGUAAUUGAUUUUCAGACCUUUAGUAUCUCCCAAGCUGAGCACUUUGUAUCACAGAGACAUUAAGUUUUUUAGCUUAUUUCAAAGGAGUAUCACUAGUCAGUAACUUCAAAGAAGGCAAGCCAAAUAAAAGGAGAGAUGGGGAUAAUGCUAACUUUAAAUAUAUAAGCAUAAGUUUUUAAUUUAAAUCAGUGGUUCUAAACCCUGGUUAUACCUAGGGUGAUUUUAAAAAUAUCAAUUCCCAGGUUCUAUCUCAGGCAUAGUAAAUCAUAAUGUUUGGAAGUAGGGUGCUGGCAUUCAUUGAAAUCUUUUAAUCCUUCAGGAUACUAUUAUUUUUGUAUUACAAAAAUAAUGAUUAUAUGGAUUUACCCACAUAUUUAACUCUUUGAGCCUCAUACUUUCAUAUAUCUCAGAUCUUCUAUCUGGGAUCACUUUCCUUCUGCCUACAGUACAUUCUUUAGAAUUUCCUUUAGUGAGGAUUCAGGAGGGUACCAAACACAGAGCUUCCAGUUGUUCUCUCCCCCCUGGAGUCAGGGCAGCAUUACACUCCCAACAUCAAUGUGUGACAAUAUAGAGUAUUGCCAACCAGGGAAGUUCUCAUGAGCCUGUGUGUUCAGGGUUUUUAUUGAGCUCCAUCGUGAAGGCAUGAUUAAUUGCCCAUGUGGCUAAUCUCAGUCUCCAACUCCUCCAGAGAUUAACGAAUAUCACAUGACCCCCAUCCUAAAUCACAUUUUUUUGGUCUUUCUGGUAUGGCCAGCCCCUUCCCUAAGUAACUUUGCCAGACUAUUCGGUGUGACCCAAGGUCCCCAGAGAAAGGAAAACAUUCCUGUCAGGCAUGUCAUUCCAGGUGCUUAGAUAUUACCUCCCUGAAGCGGUAGACAAAGGCCAAACCUCUUUGUGGGCAAGGUCAAAUUUUUUACUACAUAGGUAGCCACCAGCACCUAAAAGUGCUUUGUCCAAAUUGAGAUGUGCUAUAAGUGUAACGGAGCCCUGGCAGCACGGUGGUUAAGAGUUCGGCUGGUAACCAAAAGGUUGGCAGUUCAAAUCCACCAGCUGCUUCUUGGAAAAUGUAUGGGGCAGUUCUACUCUGCCUAUAGGGUCGCUGUGAGUCAGAAUCAACUUGAUGGCAAUGGGUUUGUUUUUUGUUUUUAAUAAGUAUAAUAUGCGCUCUAGAUUUAGAAGACUUAGAAAAUAUCUCAAUUUUUUAUAUUGAUUACAUGUUGAAAUAAGAUUUUAUUAAUAAAUAAAUUAAUUUUGUUAAUAUAAUUUCUUAACUUAUUUAUUAAGAAAUUAUAUUAAUAAAAUUAGUUCCACCUAAAACCAAAAAAAUCCAUUGUCAUCGAGUUGAUUCCGACUCAUAGUGACCCUACAGGACAGACUAGAACUACCCCAUAGAGUUUCCAAGGAGCGCCUGGUGGAUUUGAACUGACAGCCUUUUGCUUAAGCAGUCUUAACCACUACACCAGCAGGGUUUCACCUGUGUCUUUUUAAUGCAACUCCUAAGAAAUGUAAAAUUACAUAUGACUCAUUUCUAUUGAACAGCACUGGUCUGUAAUGAUGAUGCUGAAAUUGAUGUAGAAGCAAUAUUUCAGACUUCCUUUUCCGAUGGCAAUAUUUUCAACAAAUUUUCUCAAAUUCAAAAUUUAAUGGAUGAACAAAUUAUUUCUGAGGAUAAAAAUGAAAUAUUGUAUUCUUAUCCAAUUACUUAUCCAGCAGGAAGAUCUUCAUUGUGCACUGUGACAGGAAUCUGUAACAUCUUAUUUUGCUAGGAAGAUGUGUGUUACAGUGUUUUUAUAAUGUUUGUGCACCAAAAUUUACUUGACAAUUGGACAAAUGUAGAAAUGAAAAAGCUCAUUGCAUUUAUUAUUGUGACUGGUUUUUAUUAACAUGAAAAUGUUUUGCAAUUAUGGAGCAAAGAAAAGGCAGUCCUCUUUUCAACAAAAUUAUGAGCCAUCAGAAUUUUCAAAAAUAUUGCAUAUUGAUUAAUGCAAGUACAAGAGGAAGAACCAGAAGUAAGGAUAGGCUAGAAGAAUUUAAAGAUGCACUGGAAAUUUGUAAUCAGUAUUUACAAGAUGGAUAAGUUCCAGGUUUGUGAAUGAUAGGCCAUUGCUAUGGUUCUUAGGUUUGAGGAUUAAUCGUCUCAAAUUAGAUGUGCCUUUUCUUGAACAGCAAAAUGUUUUAGAGCAGUGUCAGAAGAUAUGACAGAAGGGGACUCAAAUUGGUGUGAUUGGUGUGAAUGGAUGCUUAAAUAGCUGGUAUGUGGUAUUUUGUCUCUACUCAUUAAAUCUUGUACUUGAGAAAGGCAAAAGAAGAAAUAAGUUGAUGUAGUUUGCUAUAUGGAAUGACAUUUUAAGCUUCAAAUGUGAUUUGACAACAGUAUAUACCUUGUAACAUGCUCAUACAAAGUACUUUGUUAUGCGUUAAAAUCAACAGUGAUGUUUACGUUUUGCACAACGAAGUAUGACCAGAAUAUUGUCAGUAGAGAUAGUUCCUGUAAAGUCAAAUUGGAAUUAUUCCAAGCAUUGAAUAAUGAAAAAUGCUUUGAGUUGAAAAUUGAACAUGUUAGUAUUUACCAGAUUAUAAACAUUUACCACAUUUUCACUUCAGUGGUCUAGCCCCAUUGUUAUUUUAAAAACGAGCACAUUUUCUUCCUACACUACUCUUUGUAAUAAAUUUUUUCUCUCCUGACCCCUGCACCUUCAUAGUAGUUGUAGCAUCAACUACAACACACCAGCAGCUACAAAACCUUAUUUUUUGGUAAACUCUUCAAAAACAAACGUGAUUACUUCUUUCCAGAGCUACUUAUAUGUCAUGAGUUUCAGUUUCUUGACCUUCCAGAGAGGCAGACAUUUUAUUUUUAUAAGUUCCACAAAACUCUCAUUUAAAUUGUUCCGCUGUAAGACUGUCAUGGUCUGUCUCCGCUUCAGUAUUUCAACAUGCUGUAGCUACAGCCAGUAAUCUAUUAAUAGAAUUUAUUUAAAACUGAUAUAUAAACUUAGUAAUUUACCACCAGUCUAUUAAAAAAAUAGAUGAGACUUCAAAUAAACAGGUGAAAAUUUAGUAACUCUUCUAGGCCUUAUUGAAAAUUUGAUUGAGAAGGCUGACAGAUCCCAUUGAGAAUUAAACAGAGGAUAUGAAAGUAUGUCAUGUUACUAGGCAGAAGUUGCUGUGAAAUGUGCUUUGGAAUUAAGUUUGUUAGCACAGUAUAGUAUAAUUAGCUUUAAUGUUGUAAAAGUACUGUAUGUUCCUUUUUCCCAUAUCCCUUUAAAUUUGACUGUACAACUUAAUUGCAUUUAGCAUAUAAUGUGCAUAACACCAUUGGAUCUCUUUUGAAAGAGGAAAAAAAUUCUUUACCAUGUUAUCGUUACAAUUUUAAGUAAACAUGGACUGUAUUAAAGAGUAAAAUUAUUCUAAUUUUUUUUUCAGCUUUGUUUUAUCAGAGUGAGGUUUAAGUAGAAAGUACUUGUUACUUAUAUCGGUUGGGAGUUAUGACUCUUUCCUGGUAACAGGAAGUCCUUUCUAAGCUACUUUAAGCUAAAAAAAGAAUUUAAAGAUAAGGUGUAGCACUGACUUCAGGCUUAAAUAGAUAUUGGGGCUCAACCUGUUAGCCGGACUGAUUUCUCUUAUCACCUGCUUCUGCGUUGGCUUCCUCCACACCCUGCACAUGGUGACAAGAUGGCCAAAGUGGCAAGAUGGCCAAAGUAGCUCUUAUCUCUGCAUCCUCUAAAGUUUGUGUCCACCUAGAGGAAACUCCUCCGUCUGUGCCAGCCUUAUUUGCAAAUGUCUUACUGUUUCCUCAUUGUCCUAGUCCCUGUACCAGGUAGGAAUGUCAUGAGUCUAGUCUUAGAUUGGAGUAAUUUGUUCUACUUGUGUCUCAAGACUUUGGGUGAAGCACUUGGACUGAGAGUGGGGUGGGAUGUAUGAAUUCCCAGAAGAAAACCAGAUAAGCUGGGAGACAGGGAAUAGAUGCUGGGGAGGCCAAAAACAAAAGUUCAGCAUAUAUAGUAGGGUUUGUCUUUGGGAGUUUUACCUUUGAGGUGACUCAAAUGAAGGAGAACAGUUCUGUGUCCUAGGAAACAAUGUUUUGUAUUCAUUUCUUCCAUUGGAAUAAACAGUUACAUCUCAAUUUGCACAUUUCAAAUUGGCAUUGCAAACUUCACUGAAACCAGCAUGAGCCACGCUAGAGCUGAGAGAGAUGUUCACAACAUAGAUAAUUGAACUUAAUAUGUUCUUCCCACCAAAAAAAUAAAACACAUACACAUUUGGUGAAAAGCAGUCCAAGAGGCCAGUGCUCAUGUUUCAUUCUGAAUUGUUGAUCUCAGCUGUAAUUCAUUCCUCAACAAUAAUCUUGAGAACUUUAUAAAUGAAGAUUAGGUGUUUUGCUGAUUUAAACAGUUUUCUACCUGUAUGCCAUCAUCUCGCCCUAUAUUAAAAAUAAUAAUAAUGGUAACUUUUAACCUUUGUCCAUUUAGAAAUUUGUUAUUAGAAUUCUACAAAGUCAAAGAAAAAUAAACUAAGGUAAAUGGCCUUUGGGCAAUUCAAAUUUUACUUCCCCCUCACAAUGUAUGUUUUGAGUUUUUGUUUUGUUUCAUUUGUCAUUUUCCUACAGUCCUUAUUUUCAUAUGUUAAAUAGCUGGAAAAGCAAUACCACAGUGUUUACCUGUCAUAGGUCAAGAGACAAGAUCAGAUCCCUGGGGUAUAGGAUGUAAUUUUAGUCAAGGUUUCUUGCCUAUAGAAAGUUCAAAAGCAUCAGGUUUUAGGAGCAGCCUGAAAGUUUUCCUUAGAUUCUUUUUCUGGGGAAUAGGUAUUUUCCUUUUCUUAGCUUCCUAGUUAGUUAUAGUUCUGCAACAUCUUAAACAUUUUCUCCCCUGGCAUUUACACUCUUCCAGUCAUCAUGUAUACUUUUUAUUCAUGCCCUAGCAAACUGUUUUUAUUUUUCUAGCAUGGAGACUUAAACUGGAGAAAAUUUUUAUUGUAUUUCCUACUUCUACAAGUAUUUAUUGUGUGCUUUCUACGUUCUAGGUCCCGAUCUGGGGUCUGAGAUAUAUUUUUUCCACGUUUUUUUGUUGUUAGGUGCUAUCAAGUCAGUUCCAAUUCAUAGCCGCCUAAUGUACGACAGAACAAAACAUUGCCCGGUCCUGGCCAUCCUCACAAUUAUUGCUGUGUUUGAGCCUGUUCCAGCCAUUGUGUCAACCCAUCUCGUUGAAGGUCUUCCUCUUUUUCGUUGACCCCCUGCUUUACCAAGCAUGAUGUUCUUCUCCAGAGAUUGGUUCCUGCUGAUAACGUCCAAAGUACAUGAGAUGAAGUCUCACCAUCCUUGCCUCUAAGGACUCUUCUGACUGUACUUCCUCCAAGACAGAUAACUGUACUAAAACCAUACUCUUGAAACUAUAACAAGAUUAAUCCGACAGUAUGACUGUAUGAUAUGAAAGGCAGAUUGGAGCAGAAUGAGGCAGAGAGGGGAGGAAAAAUUUGUCCAUAGGUUAAGUCAUUUAGACAAUGAGGAAGGCCUGGAUUAAAGUAAUGACAGAGGGGAAAGAGAUUAAACCUGAACAAAAUUGAAAAAAGAUGACUAGUUUCAGUGGCAUCUGAGGUUGUUGCCUGUGGGAAUGAUGAUGCCAUGUUGAUGCUAUGGUAGAAAGGAGAAUUUGCUUGAGAACAAAAAAUAAAAUACUGUUAAAUAAAUAAGUGGAGGAGAAAAGACAGAUCUCCUGUAUGGAAGAAACACAAAUAAUUUAUGCAACUACUUCCCUAGGACAUGGAGCUUAACUCCCCAUCCUUCCCUGAGUGUGGGCUGAUCUUAGUAAAUUGCUUCCACAAACCCAAGCUGAGAGAGACAUUCUGCAAAAUACCUGACCAGGCUUCCUCAAAAUUGUCAGGGUCAUUAGAAACAAAGUCUGAGAAACUGUCACAGACCAGAGGGGAGGCCAGAGAAACAUGAUGACUAAGUGUGACACGGUAUUCUGGAUGGGAUCCUGGAACAGAAAAGGUACAUUAGAAAACAUUAGUAAAAUCUUAAUAAAAUGUGGAGUUUAAUCAAUAGCAGUGUAACAUUGUUGAUUCCUUAGUUGUGACAAAUUAUGUUAGGUAGUAAUGUAAGAUGUUAACAGUAGGGCAAACUGGGAAAGGUAUACGGGAACUCUGUUCUGUCUUUGUAACUUUUCUGUUCAUCUAAAGCUAUUCUAAAACAAAAAGUUUAUUUUUAAAAAUAAUACAUUCAGAACAAAAGUAAUUCUGUUUUACUACUGAAACUAAUAGAAGAGUUCAGCAGAGUUUCUGGAUAUAAGAUAAACAUACAAAAAUCACUUGGAUUCCUCUACACCAACAAAAAGAACAUUGAAGAAGAAAUCACCAAAUCAAUACCAUUUACAGUAGCCCCCAAGAAGAUAAAAUACUUAGGAAUAAAUCUUACCAGAGAUGUAAAAGACCUAUACAAAGAAAACUAUAAGACAGUACUGGAAGAAACCAAAAGAGACCUACAUAAGUGGAAAAACAUACCUUGUUCAUGGAUAGGAAGACUCAACGUUGUAAAAAUGUCUACUCUGUCACAAGCGAUCUGUAGAUUUAAUGCAAUUCCAAUCCAAGUUCCAAUGACAUUUUUUAAUGAGAUGGAGAAAGAAAUCACCAUUUUCAUAUGGGAGGGAAAGAGGCCCCGUAUAAGUAAAGCAUUGCUGAAAAAGAAGAACAAAGUGGGAGCCCUCACUCCACCUGAUUUUAGAACCUGUUAUACAGCCACAGUAGUCAAAACAGCCUGGUACUGGUACAACAACAGAUACAUAGACCAAUGGAACAGAAUUGAGAAUCCAGACAUAAAUCCAUCCACAUAUGAGCAGCUGAUAUUUGACAAAGGCUAAAAGUCAUUUCACUGGGGAAAAGACAGUCUUUUUAACAAAUGGUGCUGGCAUAACUGGAUAUCCAUCUGCGAAAAAAAAAAAAAAGAAACAAGACCCAUACCUCAUACCAUGCACAAAAACUAACUCAAAAUGGAUCAAAGACCUAAAUAUAAAGUCUAAAAUGAUAAAGAUCAUGGAGAAAAAAUAGGGACAACGUUAGGAGCCCUAAUACAUGGCAUAAACACAAUACAAAACAUUACUAAAAAUGCAGAAGAGAAACCAGAUAACUGGGAACUCCUAAAAAUCAAACACCUAGGCUCAUCCGAAGACUUCACCAAAAGAGACUGCCUACAGGCUGGGAAAAAGUUUUUAGCUAUGACGUUUCCGAUCGGCGCCUGGUCUCUCAAAUUCUGCUAAAACUUAACCACAAAAAAACAACCCAAUUAAAAAAUGGACAAGGGAUAUGAACAGGCACUUCACUACAGAAGACAUUCAGGCGGCUAACAGAUACAUGAGGAAAUGCUCACGAUCAUUAGCCAUUAGAAAAAGCAAAUCAAAACUACAGUGAGAUUCCAUCUCACUCCAACAAGGCUGGCAUUAAUCCAAAAAACACAUAAUAAUAAAUGUUGCAGAGGUUGUGGAGAGACUGGAACACUUAUAUACAGCAUAAUUCAAAGGCAUCAAUUCUUCAGUCUUCCUUAUUCAUAGUCCAGCUUUCACAUGCAUAGGAGGCGAUUGAAAAUACCAUGGCUUGGGUCCGGUGCGCCUUAGUCCUCAAAGUGACAUCUUUGCUUUUGAACACUUUAAAGAGGUCUUUUGCAUCAGAUUUGCCCAAUGCAAUAUGUCAUUUGAUAUCUUGACUGCUGCUUCCAUGGGUGUUCGUUGUGGAUCCAAGUAAAAUGAAAUCCUUGAUAAGUUCAAGCUUUUCUCCAUUUAUCAUGAUGUUGCUUAUUGGUCCAGUUUUGAGGAUUUUUUUUCUUUACUUUGGGGUGUAGUCCAUACUGAAGGCUGUAGUCUUUGGUCUUCAUCAAUAAGUGCUUCAAGUCCUCUUCACUUUCAGCAAGAAAGGUUAUGUCAUCUGCAUAUUUCAGGUUGUUUUUGAGUCUUCCACCAAUCUCAAGGCCACUUUUUUCUUAAUUUGGUCCAGCUUCUCGAAUUAUUUGUUCAGCAUACAAAUUGAAUAAGUAUGGUGAAAGGACACAACCCUGAGGGACACGCCUCCUGAUUUUUUAAACCAGAUAGCAUCCCCUUAUUCAGUAUAUAAUCUUAAAUAACUAAUAGGUGUUCUAGAAAAUGGACUCAUUUUUCUUGAUGAGAGAAAAGUGACUACUCAGGUUGGGAAUUGCUGAAGUGCAGGCUCAUUAUUUUUAUGCUAGAGAUAAAAAUUUAAAAUCCUAUUCCCAAGAAUGAUUCUGCACUAGAACUUGAAGAUAGCUUUGGUGAAUUAUUUUAAUAAAAACGAGAAAUGAAGCUCUUUCACAAUUUGUCAGAGUUAAGAGUUUGGCUUCAUCUUCCAGAAUCUUAAUCAUCGUCAUCAUCAUUAUCAUAACUGAUUAAAUACCAUUUACAUUUUUUCGUAUAAUCCUCACAGGAAGUCUGCAAGGUAAGGUUGUACUAAUGAGGAAACAGAACAUUGACAGUAUAAAUCAGCCUGUUAAAAGAGAACUUUAUAUUUUGGGGUCUCACAUGCCCUAUCUCCUGGGAGCAGAGGGGUACUUUUACUCCACAGGGUAAAACCUGCAUGGAAAAUGUGACAUUGCCUAUAAACACUGACAGUGAGUUAUGGAAGAGCAUAGCAGUUAACAUUUACGAAGCUCUUACUAUGUUCCAGACAUUGUACAUAUUUUAUGUAAUUUUUAUGAGAUUGGUACUGUUAGUAUUCCUGGUUCACAUAUGAGAAAACUUGGAAAUUUGCUCAAAAUCACACAGGCAGUAAGUGAUAGAACAAGAUUUAAACCUAGGCAGUCUGACCCAAGAAUCUACAUUACUAUAUGUUUAGUCAUUGAUAAAUAGAUGGAGAGAGAGAAAGAUAGAUAUAAGGAGUUCCUAGGUGAUGUAAACAGUUAACACGCUUGUCUGCCACCCAGAAAGUUGGAGAUUUGCAUUCACUUGGAAGUACCUCAAAAGAAAGGUCUGGUGAUCUACUUCUGAAAAACCAGCCAUUGAAAAUCCUGUGGAGCGUAGUUAUACUCCAAUAUACAUGGGGUUGCCAUGAGUUGGAAUUGACUUGAUGGCAACUGGUUUCUAUGUGAUACAUGUAUUUUUUUUAUCUAUUUUCCCUUCAGUAUGGGGGAAGCUGAUUAAAGGCCUGUUAUGGAUUGAAUUGUGCACCCCAAAAAUGUGUGUCAAUUUGAUUAGAUUGUGAUUCCCAGUAUCGUGUGAUUGUCUACCAUUUUGUCAUCUGAUGUGAUUUUCCUGUGUGUUAUAAAUCCUGCCUCUAUUUUUUUUAUGAUGUUAAUGAGGUGGGAUUAGUGGCAGUUAUGUUAAUGAGGCAGAACUCAAUGUACAAGAUUAAGUUGUGUCUUAAAUUAAUCUCUUUUGAGAUAUAAGAGAGAAGUGAGCAGAGAGAGACAUGGGGUCCUCAUACCGCCAAAAAACGAGAGCCUGGAGAAUAGCACAACCUUUGGACCUGGGAUCCCUAUGCUGAGAAGUCCUUGGCUAGGGGAAGAUUGAUGACAAAGACCUUCCCCCAGAGCCAAAGAGAGAGAAAGCCUUCUCUUGGAGCUAGAACCCUGAAUUUUGACUUCUAGUGUCCUAGACUAUGAGAGAAUAAAUUUUUCUUUGUUAAAGCCAUCCACUUAUGGUAUUUCUGUUGUAGCAGCACUAGAUAACUAAGACCAGCCCCCAACCAAACAAGCAAACUGAAAAAAAAAAAAAAAAAAAAAUUGUUGUUUUUAGUGCCAUCAAGUUGGUUCCAACUGAUAGCUACACUAUGUACAACAGAAUGAAACAUUACCCAGUCUCACACCAUCCUCAUAAUCUUUGCUAUGUUUGAGCCCAUUGUUGCAGUUGCUGUGUCAGUCCAUCUCAUUGAGGGUCUUCCUCUUCUUCACUGACCUUCUACUUUACCAAGCAUGAUAUCCCUCUCUAGGGACUGGUCCCUCCUGGUAACAUGUCCAGAGUAUGUGAGAUGAAGUCUCACCAUCUUUGCUUCUAAGGAGCAUUCUGGCUGUACUUCUUCCAAAACAGAUUUCUUCAUUCUUCUGGCAGUCCAUGAUACAUUCGAUAUUCUUCACCAACACCAUAAUUCAAAGGGAUUGAUUCUUCUUCAGUCUUCCUUAUUCAUUGUCUGGUUUUCGCGUACAUAUGAGGCAAUUAAAAAUAACCGUGACCUUCAUCAGGUGCACCUUACUCCUCAAGGUUACAUCUUUGCUUGUCAACACUUUAAAGAGGUCUUUGCAGCAGAUUUGCCCAAUGCGAUAUACCUUUUGAUUUCUUGACUGCUGCUUCCACAGACGUUGACUGUGGAUCCAAGUAAAAUGAAAUCCUUGACAAAUUCAAUCUUUUCUCCAUUUAUCAUGAUGUUGCUUAUUUGUUCAGUUGUGAGGAUUUUUGUUUUUUUUAUUGAGGCGCAAUCCACACUGAAGGCUAUAGUGUUUGAUCUUUAUCAGUAAGUACUUCAAGUGGUCUUCAUUUUCAGCAAGCAAGAUUGUGUUAUCUGCUUAUCACAGUUCCUUAAUGAGUCUUCCUCCAAUCUCAGUGGCAUGUUCUUCUUCGUAUAGUCCAGUUUAAUUAUUUGUUCAGCACACGGAUUGAAUAAGUACAGUGAAAAGACACAACCUUGACGCACACCUUUCCUGAUUUUAAACUAUGCAGUAUCCCUUAUUCUGUUCGAAAGACUGUCUUUUGGUUAUGUACGGAUUAGGCAUGAGCACAAUUAAGUGUUUUGGAAUUCACGUUCUUUGAAAUGUUAUCCAUAAUUUUUUCCCCUCCACAUAGUCAACAAAACACAGGUAAACAGCUUUCUGGUAUUCUCUGAUUUCAGAUCCAUCUGACAUCAAUGUCCUCUUCUCAAUGCGGCUUGGAUUUCUGGCAGUUCCCUGUCAAUGUAUUGCUGCAACUGCUUUUGAAUUAUCUUCAGCAAAAUUUUACUUCCUUGUGAUACUAAUGAUAUUGUUUGAUAAUUUCUACAUUCUGUUGAAUCACAUUUCUUUGGAAUGGGCACAAAUAUGGAUCUCUUCCAGUCAGUUGGCCAGGUCUCUCUCUCCCAUAUUUCUUGGCAUAUAUGAGUUAGCACCUUCAGUACUGCGUACGUGUGUUGAACCAUCUCAGUUGGUAUUCCAUCAAUUCCUGGAGCCUUGUUUUUCACCGGUGCCUUCAGUGCAACUUGGACUUCUUCCUUCAGUACCAUCAGUUCUUAAUUAUAAAAAACCAGUUGUUUUUGGUACAGUGACUCUGUGUAUUCCUUCCAUCUUUUUUUGAUGCUUCCCAUGUUGUUUAUUAUUUUGCCCGUAGAAUCAAGUAUUGCAACUCAAGGCUUUGAGUUUUUCUUCAGUUCUUUCAGCUUGAGAAAUGCCGAGUGUGUUCUUCCCUUUUGGUUUUCUAACUUCAGGUCUUUGCACAUUUCAUCAUAAUACUUUACUUUGUCUUCUCAAACCACCCUUUGAAAUGUACUGUUCAGCUCUUUUACUUAAUCAUUUCUUCCUUUUGCUUUAGUUACUUUACAUUCAAGAACAAGUUUUAGAGUCUCUCCUGACAUCCAUUUUGAUCUUUUCUUUCUCUCCUGCCUUUUUAAUGACCUUUUGCUUUCUUCAUGUAUGAUAUCCCUGUUUACACCUCACACCUCAUCUGGUCUUUGGUCAUUAGUGUUCAGUGCAUCAAAUCUAUUCUUCAUAUGGUCUCUAAAUUCAGGUAGAAUAUACUCAAGGUCAUAUUUUGGCUCUUGUGGACUUGUUCUAAUUUUCUUCUGUUUCAACUUGAACUUGCAUAAGAGCAGUUGACGGUUCUGCAGUCGGCCCCUGGCCUCUAUCUGCCUGAUGAUAUUGAGCUUGUCCACAGAUGUAGCCAAUUUUAUUCUUGUGUAUUCCACCUGUCGAGUCCACGUGUAUAGUCACUGCUUAUGUUGUUGAAAAAAGGUAUUUCCAAUGAAUAGAUCAUUUCUCUUGCAAAAUUCUAUCAUGUGAUGGUGUCGUUUUUUCAAGGCCAUCCUUUCCACCUUCUUUUCUGAUCCUUCUUUGCUUCCAGUUUUUGUAUUCCAAUCUACAGUAAUUAUCAAUGCAUCUGGAUUGCAUGUUAGAUCGAUUUCAGACUGCAGACAUUGAUAAAAUUCUUCAGUUUCUUCGUCAUUUGCAUGAAUGGCUGGUACAUAAAUUUGAAUAUUAGUCGUAUUAAUUGUUCUUCCUUGUAGGCAUAUGGAUAUUAUCCUAUCACUGACAGCGUUGUACUUCAGGAUAGAUCUUGAAAUAUUCUUUUUGACAAUGAAUGCAGUGCCAUUCCUCUUCUAUUUGUCAUUCCUGGCAUAGUAGACCAUGUGAUUGUCCAUUCUAAAUGGCCAGAACCUGUCCAUUUCAAGUCACUAAUGCCCAGGAUAUCUAUUUUCAAGUGUUUCAUUUUUUUUUUUACAACUUCCAGUUUUCCUAGAUUCAUACUUUGUACAUUCCAUGUUCCAAUUAUUAGUGGAUGUUUGCAGAUGUUUCUUCUUAUUUUGAGUUGUGCCACAUCAACAAAUGAAGGUCCCAAAAGCUUUACUUCAUUCACGUCAUUAUGUUUGAUUCUACUUUGAGGAGGCAACUAUUCCACAGUCAUAUUUUGAGUGCCUUCCAACCUCAGGGGCUCAUCUUCUGGCACUGUACUAGGCAAUGUUCUACUGCUAUUCAUAAGGCUUUCACUGCCCAGUUAUUUUAGAAGUAGAUCAUCAGGUCCUUCUUACUGGUCUGUCUUAGUCGGGAAGCUCAGCUGAAACCUGUCUGCCAUGGGUGACCCUGCUGGUAUUUGAAAUACUGGUGGCAUAGCUUCCAGCAUCACAGCAACACGCUAGCCACCACCGUAUGACAAAUUGAUGAACAAGUGGUGGACAUAGUAGAACUGCCCCAUAGGAUUUCUAAGGCUGUAAAUCUUUGCUGAAACAGACUGCCACAUAUUUCUCCCAUGGAGCAGCUGCUGGGUUCGAACUGCCAGACUUCCAGUUUUCAGCCGAGCACUUAACCACUGCACCACCAAGGCUCCCUAAUUAGAGGCCCAGGCUCUUCAGAACCAGACAGUUUUUACCAGGGAACCAGGGUGGCUGCUUCCCAAAUAGCUGCUUUUAGACUUUUUUUUUUAGAUAUUUUCAGUAUACUGUUUGAUGACCAUAGUCUUCAGCCUUUUUUGCUUCCUGUGUGUGCUCAUUCUCAAAACUCCUGUCUUAGGUUUUUAGUCUGUUUUCCUAUAGUCUCUAGACUUGAACUAGUGUCUCUGAGUUAACUACACCCAAAGUUUUAGUCUACCAAAUCUGCAACUUUUAUUCAUCUCUGAGAGAGAGACAAUGGAUAAGUGGGAAGCCACGGUGCCUUUUAUUUAUAGUCGAGUCUCCAAGUCAUAUGCUCUCAUGUCUGCCUCAUUCUUUUAGUUAUAAGCAAGUCACUAGGUCUAGCCUACACUCACGGGGAAGAGGAUUAAACUCUACUUCUUGAAACCAGGCGUAUCAAAGUAUUUGUGGACAUAUUUUUUAAAUCGCCAGUGGUCUUUUGAUUAGUAUAUGAAAAUAGUUCAUCUAGUUGGUAUCUGUGAGUACAGUUAUAACUGGGUUAUUUUCUUCCAUUCCACUAUAAAUACCUAUAAAAUAAACCAAAGGAAAUCACAUCUUUUUAAUAUUAACAUCUCAUCUUUAUUUGGACAUCUAGCAGUAGGUCCACUGUUGGGCAAAGAGCUAAGCUUAAAGUGACAAACAAUGAUGUCAUUGAAUUUACAAGUUGAGGAAAUGAAUAUAAAUAAGAUACAUUGGUCAAAAGUAAUUUCAUUCAUGCAUUUUUACCAUAGUUCCUGUCCAUGUCAUAACUCUUUUCCUGACUGUUCAUUUUCAUCGGGGUUUAAUGAAGUACCGUCUGCUCAGUUUGAGUGACCAACUCAUAUUUAGCAGGAAUAUAUUGAAAAAAGUGUAGGAGUCUCAGUGCGUUUAUUGAAGAAAUGCUGUUCUUAAAUCAUUUUAAAAUGAAGUAAGGUUUAAGUAAACAAUACAGAGGAACUGUACAGAUUUGUGUGUGUGUGUGUGUGUGUAUGUUAACAAUAAUUCCCAGAUACCUUCUGUAGAUGACUAUUUUGUGUUGUUUCUGAUUCUUAGAGACUUCUGCCACUGAGAUUUACUUAGGCCAUGUGGGGAAUGUUGGAUGCAUAUGUUUUGGAUGAGGGUUUUUAAUAAUCCCAUAGGAAAUCUAGAUUGUGAUAAGUUGUAUUUUGUUAUAUGUGAAUAGUGCUAUUAUCAAAUGGCUACCUCGACAAAAGAGCUGUGUUAUAGGGAAGAAAUAUCACAAAGUUCAGUAAAGCAAAAAAGUUUUAUUUGGCAUAUAUUCAGAGAGGCAAAAGUAGGAAAUGGACAGCCAUGGUGCCGGAGCCAUGUCUGCCUGAGUCCAAGGAAAUAGUACAGGCAAAAGUGGGAAAAUGGACAAGCCUGCUGCUGAAGAGAACCAUGUCUGCUAGAAUCCAAAGAAUAUUACAGAAUAGGCAAGAAUGGGAGAACAGACAAGCAUGCUGCCACAGCCAGGUCUGAGAGAAUAUACAGAAUCUUUAGUAUAUAUUUACAUUACAAGUGGGCAAAACCAUUGAAAGCUUCACAUUUUCACAGAUUGGCCAGAAACUGCUAAAUCUCUGUAAUCCUACAUUUUGAAUUGUCUUUCUUAACAAUCAUUGGUACAGGUUUCAUUAACAGUCAGGAGGGUCUUCAUUGGUCCAGCAUAUUUCCUAUUCACUAACUGCUAAUAGAAAAAGAUAAGAGGGGAAAGUCUUUUGGGUUGUUUGGCUUAUGUGAAAGGUUCCAUAAAAGAUAUUUUCCAGGAUUAUCCUAGUUAUUGUCAUUUUACCUCAGGCCCCAGUUGAUGUGUCCUUGUGAGCCCUGCUCCAGCUGGGUCACAUUCUCUAUCCUCAAGGACAGAGACUAAUGAUUCCAGUAUUAUUUUCUGAAUCAGCUGUUUACCAUAAAAAUUAUGAAAUUUGAAUAUGCAGUGAAAAUAUGGUGUUUCGAAGCCACAAAAAGGCAAAAAUGAUGACAGAGUGUAAGAACUGAAGUUGAAACUGCCAUGGAGUCUCAAUCUAUUUUAAAGAAUGUUCCAGAAAAUUAUCAUUUGCCUAACUAAUGACUGUUAAGUUAGAAUCUGUCAGAAAAGUCACAUUUUGAAGAAAGAGGUAAAAUAAGGUCCUGUGACUCAACUGUGAACUUAAAUACAAAUUAAUACGGAAAAAUUCUCAUAAAAACUUGAAUUUGGAAAGAGAAAAUGAAAGUUGGAGUCAGCUGAGUUAGUACUCUCUGAAUCACAAGGGAAUCCCAGCUAUACUAAGGAUGGUUACAUUUGAGGUAUGGCUGCUAGAGGCCACCCUCCUUCCUCUAGGUCCCCUCUCCCCAUUGUGAUUGAAAUGACCCCAGGCUAAUCUUGAUUUUUAAAAGGCUGUUGUAGAGGCAACUGAAUGAUCUGCUUCAUACACAACAACCACCCAAGCCCCACCGUGAUGAUUUUGUGGCCUAUUUAUGAGGAACCAAAUCCUUGUCCCCAUUUUUUAUAAAGUUCUUUUUUUUUUCGUAUUUGUUUAGUAGAUAUUAAAAUUUGAAUUUAAAAAUCUCAAAAUAAUAAUAAAUUUGCUGAAAGAAAUUAAAUCUCUAAAUAAACAGGAAGAUAACAUGCUCGUGGAUUUGGAAAACCUAUAGAUUCAGUGCAAUCCCAAUCAAAAUCUCAGCAGGCUUUUUUUUUUUUUGAUAGGAACUGACAAGCUGAGUCUAAAAUGUAUAUGGAAAUGCAAGGGACCUAGAAUAUUCAAAACAACUUUGAAAAAGAACAGAAUUAGAGAACUUAUACUACCUGUAUUUCAGGACUUACUAGAGUUAUGGUAAAAUCAAGACAUUUUGGUAUUGUCAGGAAGGUAAUAAAAAGAUUAAGGAUCUGCAGAGAGCCUUAUAAAUUGGGACACAGCCAUACUUAAUAGUUUACCUAUUGCUUUUUACCUAAAACAGCAGUUGAGUGUGAGAGAGACCAUAUGGCCCCAAACCUAAAAUAUUUACUUUCUAGCCCCUUAAUAGAAAGCUCAGAAAUAGAUCGUCACAUGUAUUAUUAAAUGAUUUUCACAAAGGUGCCAAUCAACAGGGAAAAAGAUAGUCAUUUUGUCACCUGAAGAGUUUGCUUCCACCCCUACCUCAUACCCUCACAAAAAUUAACUUGAUCAUAGACCUAAACUUAAAAGCUAAAACUAUAAAAAUUGUAGAAGAAAACAUAGAAUAUUCUUCAUUACUUUGGAGUAGGCAAAGAUUCUUAGGAUACAAAAGCACUAACCAUAAAAGAAAAAAAUUAAUAAAUUUGAUUUCAUAAAAAUGAAAACACCUGCUCUUUAAAAGGCAUCAUCAAGAAAAUGAAAUGGCAAGCAACAAACUGGGAGAAAAUGUUAGCAAAACAUAUAUCAAUAAAGGAUGUAUACCCAGAAUAUAUCAAGAAGGCUUACAAUUUAAUAAGACAACUCAGUUUUAAAAAUAGGCAGAGCAGAGGAUUUGAACAGACACUUUACAAAAGAUUUUAAACUGGCCAGUUAGCACAUGUAAAAAUUAUAUCAUUAGACAUCAAGAAAAUGCAAACCAAAACAGUGAAAUACCACUUAAUAUGAACUAGAAUGGCUAAAAUUAAAAAUAUUAGUAAUAGCAAGUGCUGACAAGAAUGUGGAACAACUAGAAUUCCUGCAUAGCUGGUGGGGGUCUAAAUGGUGCAACCAAUUUAGAAAACUGUAUAGGAGUUUCUUAUACUUAAGCAUAUACUAACCAUAUGACUGACAAAUUCCAGUCUUAGAUGUUUACCCAAUUGAAAUGAAAAUAUAUGCCCAUAAAGACAUGUUUGUGAAUAUUCAGAGCAGGUUUCUUCAUAAUAGCCAAAACUGGAAACAGUUCAACUGUCCAUACAUGGGUGAAUUAAUAAAAAAUUCUGGUAUAUUUAUGUAACAGAAUACCAUUCAGCAGCAAACAGGAACAAAUUGCUGAUAUACACAAUUAUUGCUGUUGUGUGUGGUCGAGUCGAUUCCGACUCAUAGCUACCCCAUUGACAGAGUAGAACUGCCCAUAGUGUUUCCUAGCCAGUAAUCUUUACCUGAGGAGCCCUGAUGGUGCAGUGAUUAAAAGCACUUGGCUGCUAACCAAAAGGUCGGCAAUUUGAACCCACAAGUUGCCCCAUGGGAUAAAGAUGUGGCAGUCUGCUUCCAUAAAGAUUUACUGCCUUGGAAACCUUAUGGAUCACUAUUAAGUUAGAAUCUACUCCAGGGCAGUGAGUUUAAUCUUUACCUAGGAGCUGUGGUGGUACAGUGGUUAGAGCUUGUUAAGAGCUCAGCUGCUAACUGAAAGGUCAUCUGCAGGGGUGGAUUACCCAACAAGCAAGGUUACCACAGGUUUACUUGUGCUUACUUAAUAAUCUGUAGUGAACAGUUUCACAGUUUUUUACCUCAUCAAAGACUCUGCUUCUUGAUAUGGCUGGCAUCUGUUUCUCUCCCAACCCGACAGCACCUUCCUACAGAAUCAAAGCCUCUUUUCAAAUUUAUAAUGCCUGACAGGGACAGAUUACCCAAGUAAGCAAGGUAAUGAUGUGGUAAAAAACUGUGUGUAACUGUUCACCACAAAUUAGUAAGUAAGCACAAAUAAGACUGUGCUUACCUUGAUGUGGUGAAAACCAUGUGAAACUGUUCACUACAGGUUAAUGAAUCAGCACAAAUAAGGCCAUGCUUACUUUGCUUAUUAGGUAAUCUGCCACUGGUUGGCGGUUCAAACCCACCAGCUGCUCCUCAGGAGAAAGAUGUGGUAAUUUGCUUCCGUAAAGAUUUAUAGUCUUGGAAAGCCUGUGGGGCAGUUCUGCCCUGUCCUGCCCGGUCACUCUGAGUCAGAAUCAACUCGACAGCAAUAGAUAACCUUCACAGGAGCAGAUUGCCAGGUCUUUUUUUCCCAUGGAGCAGCUGAUGGGUUUGAACCACUGACCUUCUGGUUAGCAGCCGAACACUUAACCAUUGCGCUGGCAGGGCUCCUUGACAUAUGCAAUAACUCCGCUGCUGUUGAAUCAAUUCUGACCCGUAACUGCCCCAUAGGGUUUUCAGGGAGUGGUCAGUAGAUUUUUGAACUGCCAACCUUUUGAUUGGGAGCCACAUGCUUAAGCACUGCACCAAUACACAAUAGCAUUGAUGAAUUCCAUGGACAUUAUGCUGAGUGAAAGUGGACAGACUCAAAAAUAGUACACUGGUCAUGAAAAUUAUCCCAUUACUAUCAAAUUGUAGAAUAGGCAAAAUUCAUUUAUAGUAAUAGAAAAACAAAGCAGUGGUUGUUGGGGCAUGGAUGGUGUCAUGGAUUGAAUUAUGUCCCCCAGAAAUAUCUAUCAACUUGGCCAGGUCGUGAUUCCCUUGCAUGAUUAUAUGAUUGUCUACUAUUUUAUCACCUGAUGUGAUUUCCUUGUGUAUUGUAAAUCCCAUCAAUAUGAUGUAAUAAAAUGGAUUAGCAGCAGUUAUAUUGAUGAGGUCUACGAGAUUAGAUAGUGUCUUAAGCCAGUCUCUUUUGAGAUAUAUGAGAGAAGUAAACAGGGAGAUAAGGGGACCCCAUACCAUCAAGAAAGCAGUGCCGGGAGUACAGUGCGUCCUUUGGACCUGAGGUUCCUGUGCUGAGAUGCUCCCAGACCAAGGGAAGAUUGAUGACAAGGACCUUUCCCAGAGCCAACAGAGAGAGAAAGCCUUUACCUGGAGCCAGCACCCUGAAUUUAGACUUCUAGCCUACUGGACUGUAAGAGAAUAAACUCUUUGUUAAAGCCAUCCACUUGUGGUAUUUCUGUUAUAGCAGCACUAGAUGACUAAGACAGAUGGGUAGCAGGAAGAUUGAGUUUACGUAAAGUGGCACAAGUGAACUUUGGUAGGAAGGAAACGUUCUGUAUCUUGAUUAUAGUGACUACACCAAAAACCAAACCAGUUGUCCUCGAGUCGAUUGCAACUCACAGCGGCCAUACAGGACAGAAUAGAACUGCCUCAUGGGGUUGCCAGUGAGUGGCUGGUGGGUUCAAACUGCCAUCCUUUUGGUUAGCAGACGAGGUCUUAACCACUGCACCACCAGGGCUCUUAACAAUUACAUAGGUCUAUACAUUUGUCAAAAGUAAUCAGGCUGUACACUUAAAACGUGAAUUUUAUUAUCAUAAAGUAUGCCUCCAAAAAACUUAUUUUAAAAAUUUUUAUUAAAAAGUGAUGAAUAAACUAUAUUUCUAUUACAAAAAGUAAAUUGGGCCAUGUCUCUCCUCUGCUUGAAACCCUUUACACUUUCUCAUUGCAUGUCAGGUAAAAUCCAGACUCCUUCCUGACUUCCUUUUCUAAUGCAUUGUCUGCCACUUUCUUCCUUGCUCACUGGGCUCUGGCUAUGCUUGCCUUCUUUCAUUGGUACAACAUCCAUACUUUUCUAGUAUGCUGUUCAUUCUGCCUAGGACCCUCUUGAUUCACCCGUUUCCCCCACCGCAUUUUGUCAUAGCUACAUCCUCUCCCUUUAGAUCUCAGCUUAAAUGACAUAUCCACAAAGAAGCUGUUCCUGUCCUUGCCACUAUUACUCUGUGUUCCCUAGUUUGUUUUCUUCAUGGAACAAUGUACUGUUAUUUUAGGCAUCUGCCUAUUCUUUGUUUAUCUCUCUACCCCAAAUGUAAGGUCCAUGAGGAAGUUCUCAUGGCUGUCUCAUUCAACACUCUAUCCCCAGCACUUACCCUAGAGUCACCUAUGCUUUUUGGAGGAAUGGAUAUUGUUUCCUGAGCCUGAAAUCUCCAUUCCUUCUCAUCUAUUCAAAUUCUCCCUCAUCCUUCAAAGCCCAGCUCAAGUGACAGCUAUUCUUUAGUCUUCUUCAACUACCCUACUUAAUUCUCCUGGGAGUGAAUUUGUUUAUAAGCUAGCGUGAAUGUUUCGAAACUGGUGAAGGCAAUCAGAAACAAAGCACAGGUUCAGCAUUUGUUGAAGCAAAAGGACCUGUAACUUAAUGGAGUUCUUAACUUCCAAAGUCGAAUCAUGACUGUCAUGGAUUGUAUUAAGUCCCCCGCCAAAUGGGUGUAUCAACUUGGUUAGGCCAUGAUUCCUAGUAUUCUGUGGGUGUUCUCCAUUUUGUGAUUGUAAUUUUAUGUUAAAGAGGAUUAGGGUGGGAUUGUAACACCCUUAACCAGGUCACAUCCCUGAUCCAACGUAAAGUAAGUUUCCCUGGGGUGUGGCCUGCACCAUCUUUUGUUCUCUCAAGAGAUGAAAGGGAAAGGAGCAGAGAGUUGGGGACUUCAUACCACCAAGAAAAUAGCACUGGGAGCAGAGCGCAUCCUUUGGACUUGGAGUUCCUGCGCAGAGAGCUCCUAGUUCGAGGGAAGAUUGAUGAGAAGGCCAACAGAGAGAAAGCCUCCCCCUGGAGCUGAGUUUGAACGUCUAGCCUACUUUAGUUUGAGGAAAUAAAUUUCUCUUUGUUAAAGCCGUCCACUUGUGGUAUUUCUGUUAUAGCAGCAUUAGAUGACUAAGAUGAAGACAUUUGGAGAAAAAGCUGGUAAUCCAUCCUAUACGAAACAGUAUUGAGUCUCAAGUAAAUACUGAAUAGGCUUUUGAUUGCUCAAGAAAAUUUUUAUACAUCCUAUUUUCCAUCCUCAAACUGGGUCAUGCAAACGUCAAGCUUCUUUGAUGAAACUUCUCUCUUAAUUCAGAAAGGUGAAGGAUUGGUAGAAAAAGAAAAACUAUAAAAGUAUUUGUUUUCUUCCAGUUCUUCUAAUUUUCUACUCUAGGCUAGCUUCUGUGGUGUCUACUUGAACUAAUGGGUGAGAUUUGUAAGAGCCUGCAGAUGAAAAAAGGCUUAACGUUGCCUUCCUCUUCCUUCUUCACUCCCCUUCCCCAGUAAUUCUCCUGGUACAUUAUUCGCCUGGUACGUUUGAAAUUAGCUGUAUAAUAUCAUUAUAGCCUCUAGAAAUGACACCUAAAGGUAACCUCUCCUGCUCCCCCCCCCCGCACACACAUUCUGCAUAUGAAUCAACUGACACUUUAAAGUUGUAUUUUCUUUUAUUAAAAAAAAAAAAAAGAAGUUGACAUUGAAGGAGUAAGAAAAUAUAAUUCUGUAAAACCUAAGUGUUUCUCAGUUCCUCCUGUCAUAGGCCUGUGAUUAAUUUGUAACUUCUAGGCAUUAGUAUUUUAAGAGAAUUACAGCAGAAAGUAUCUUUUUGACAGAACAAACCAAAGUUUGUUAAAUCGCUUUUCAGCAAUAUUGAUCAACGUUCUGGUGUACCUUAGCCUUUUUACACCAAAAGCCCACUAAUACUCUUACCUCAUUGGUUCUUAAACUUGAGCAUACAUCAAAUCACCUGGAGACCAGGUUAAAACAAAUUGCUGGACGCUACCUCCAGAGUCUCAAAUUCAGUAGGUCUGGGGUGAGGUCCAAGAAUUUGAAUUUCUGACAAGUGUUGCUAGUACUGAUGAUGUGGUCUCGCUCUGGAAACUGUGAGAAUCACUGUAGCUCUUAUGAACGUUUUUGCAUUUUUGUGUUGGCCAGACCAAGGCCCUCUUUAGGUGAAUGUUACAGUUUGCAAUUCACCUUGCUCCGUGUGAUUUGUUUAUUGUUCUUCAAGGUGUUAGAUAGGCAGAAAACUGGAAUUUUCACUUGCAAUUUUAGAUUCAAUCUAAUCCUUAUCAUAGGAAGUUCUUGCCUUAAAAAGCAGUUCAUAAAACCCAUUUUGCCAGCACAGGGCAAACGAAAAAUCUGUUUUUUACUACCUAUGAUUAACCUAAUUCAAGAAGAAGGAGCAGGCUUAGGGGAAAGGCUAGUAUUAAAACAGUAAGUGUGGGAGCUUAAAAAUUAUUUUCUUGCAAUUAAUAUUACAGCCUCAAUAUGGCGUUUGAAAUUGUUUUUAGAAUCCUGGACCUAGUUAUUCACAUUUAGGGCUCAGUUUGCAAGGAUUAAAUAAUAUGUGUACUGAGUAUUUUUAAGGUUGCUCCAACUUCCGACAUUAGAACAGGUUGUUUGAGCGGCAGGAGGUGUGUGUUUGUGCAAAAAUUUGCAGAAAUGCUAGAGAGAUAUAGAUUCUAUCCCACUGAUAUACCAUCUUCCAACUUAACCUCACAUCUAUUGCCUUUGUUUGGUGUUAUCAAAAUGUAGUAUUCCAAAAGAUGUUUCUGUACAUGGUACCUUUAUUGCAUAACUAAAAAGCAGUUGGUUUCAUUUAAAUCUUUAAAAAAAAAUUUUUUUUAGAAAAUUGCUGCCAAGUUUAUUCUCCAUCUCUUGAUACUUGUUUGAGUUUUUGUUAUAGUUCAAAGAUUGAGCUGUUACUCAAUUAAGCCUUGAAUUAUAAAAAUAUUAUAUUUUUGAAAUCUUAAAUUAAUUUUUUUUAAGUUUUUAUGUUUUUAAUUUGAGGUUUAUCACGUUUCAUGGCUCAAAAUAGCACAUUCAGUUUUUGGCAUCUUCUGCCUGUGCCAGUGAAAGCAGAACCAUAUGGUGUGACUGCUGUUAUGCUAGGAAACCCACACACUGUAGAGACAUUGCCUGGCAUGAAGCAGAACCACUGCUCCCAUAUGCUUAUCUUUUUAAUGCCAACAUGUUGACCAAGAUAUGUUAGGGUUUCCGGACAUCACAGAUCCUCUCCAUUGAGUCUUCCAGAUCUUUCUCCUACCAGCAUCAACAUUUGCUCACAUUAUUAAAACAAAUACUCAAAACUUCAUGGAAUCUUUUACCCAACUUCAUAAAGAAGUUUUGACUGAGACUAUGACAAGUAAUACAAUCAAUAAGUAUUUUAGUGCCCCUUAAGCUCUUUUUUUUUUUUUUAAGCUCUAGUACCCCUCCACCUCUGUGCCCUCUCUUGAGUAAUAAACUCUUCCUCUCUACUCACCUUCCUCUCCUGACCAAAUAUCCAGAAGGAAGGAAAAAAAAAAAAACCCAUUGCUGUCGAGUCAGUCCCAACUCAUAGCGACCCUAUAGGAUAGAGUAGAACUGCCCCAUGGAGUUUCCAGAGAGCACCUAGUGGAUUCGAACUGCUGACCUUUUGGUUAGCAGCCGUAUCUCUUAACCAGUAUACCACCAGGGUUUCCAAAAGGAAGCGUAUUUGCAAAUAUUGAUCUUAAGUGUUGGUGUAAGUGUGGGAAGAUGGCUGAGAUUUGUAGUUUUAGGUGAUGGGAAGAGUUUAAAACAUGACAAAUAGAAUGUACUAAUUGCUAUUUUUCUCUCACUUCUGUGUUUUGUCCUUUGUUAAAUAGUUGUAAUAUGAUUUCCAUAUAACUACCCUUAAGUCUGCCCUUGAUUUGUCUGUUUUGUGCUAGAGCAGUCAUGUAGUUCAUUGUGAUCUUCAUGCAAACAUUUCUCAAUCUUCUAAGAUUACUGUUAAGGUUUUCCAGUAUAAAUUUAGCUAGUUCCUCUGAAAAUAAAGACAGGUACGGAUAGGUUUUGUUCACCAUAAAGAUUUUUUUACUAGUUUUCAAUAACCUUGUAUAAUUAUUCUUGUUUUAAAUAUUAUUUUAUUUUUGGUGAAAAUAUACUCAGCAGAUUAUAUACACAUUCAGCGGUUUCUACACGUACAAUUCAGUGACAUUGUUUAUAUGCUUCACAUUGUAUCAUUAUUCUCGCUAUCUUUCUCUAUAUUGUUUCACCACUGUUGACUUAGACUCAGUGCCCCAUAAACUACUAAUAUGUGCUUUAGAGUUACUGUUGUCGAUUUCAUCUGAUUACAGAUAAUUCUUUAGAAGAGCACAGCGCUCAAGGUGACCAUUCUUUACCAAUUCAGCUAAGCUGUUGUUUAGUUUGAAGAUUACUUCAGGAGAUAGUUUUGGUUCAAGGUUCAAAAAUUUUCUCAGGGCACCUUUCCUAAAUGUGUGCUUUUGAGACAGAAAUGAAGCAGAAUUUACCAAGAUUUCACAUGAUAUUGAUUUCUCAAGCAGAAAUUUACCUAAGGCCUAUGUUGUAACCAGCGAUGUAUCACUGUAAUAUUUAGAAAUUCUUAAAAGAAUCAUUUGGGGGAAGAAGGCUUAGUGAGAUAAAAUUGUCAUUAUGAGAUAACUAGGUUAUAAUGUCAUUCAGAAAGAAGAAAAUUUUUCCAGGUAUAAUCCAUUGGUGUUUGUUCAUAUGGGUUUUUUUUUUUUUUCUUGGUCAUUUCUAAAGGCUUCAUUUGAAGGAUGAACAGUUUCCCUGGGAGAAUUGGAUUUAAAUAAAUAAUAGUGAUGAGUCCCUUACAGGUGUACAGGUUAACUCCAAAAAUGUAAUUCUCGAUAACCCUAUUCUUCCCCAACCCAGUGCUUUUCCAUCAAGGAAACUAUAUAGUGGACUUAAUUUUCUGAGAAUAACACUAAUUUAAAAGUGUUUUUGAUAUCUUAAUUAAGUAACUUCCUCUCCUGUCCAGUUUGAAUUCAUCACAUAGUGUAGGUCUUGGAUUGGGAUUAUGUUAGAUGAUUGAAGUUAAAUUGAAAGAAGCCUGAAAAAUAGAGCAGAAAGGAAGAAGGUGUUUAUAUCAGUUUGACCCUAACCAAAAAAACCAAACCCACUGCCGUCGAGUCGAGUCGAUUUGAUAGCGACCCUGUAGGACAGAGUAGAACUGCCCCAUAGAGUUUCCAAGGAGCGCCUGGCGAAUUUGAACUGCCGACAUCUUGGUUUGACCCUAGUGACUAACAAUUUGCCUUUGGAAGCCUAUAGGUCAGAUGGAAUUUCUGUCAACCAAACAUGCCAGUGUGCCUAGUAUUAUGGUAGUCCCAGAUGUGAAUAAUGCCGCCAAGGAACUUUGUUAAAUGUGAAAAUGCUCAUCACCAGCACCAAAUUGGAUUCAAGAUUUCUAAGUCAUCUCCCAGGAAGUGAAAAUAUGUGGUGAUUCAUAAACAAAGUCUGUUGUCAAUUAAUUUAGUACCAGGUGCCCUAUGAAAAGGAGCCUAUUCAUUUGUGUAAUCUGGUGGGUAGCUCAACUUCAGCUGAUGAAACUGUAGAAUGUUUUAUAUAUUAGGAACCAGCUGACUACCAAGCAUUCGUGUUUCAGAAACUGGGACAACUUCCAAGUUAGUUUUUUGAAUCCUUUAAUUUCUCCUGCCAGACUCAUUAACUCAGCCUGUUCACCUUUGGGAAAUCAUAGUUCCAGACUUAUACUUUCUGUAAAAACCAUGCCUCUAAGUGAAUGUGAUGGUUGAUUGAGAGCAUUCAGACUUAAGCUUUUCAGUAGUUUAUUCUGAAACCAAUUUGUUGUGACUUUGACCAGGAGAGAAUGGUUAAGAUGAAGCAGUAGGUAGUAUUCAAAUUACCUGCAUUAAAAGACUUGAAUUCAAGGACACAAGGCAAUUAUGAGCCCAAGAGACAGAAAGGACCACAUGAACCAGAGACUACAUCAUCCUGACACCAGAAGAACUAGAUGGUGCCCAGCUACAACCAAUGACCGCCCUGACAGGGAACACAACAGAGAACCCCUGAGGGCAGUGGGGUACAGACCCCAAAUUCUCGUAAGACCAGACUUAAUGGUCUGACUGAGACUAGAAGGACCCCGGGGGUCAUGGACCCCAGACCUUCUGUUGGCCCGGGACAGGAACCAUUCCCGAAGCCAACUCUUCAGACACGGAUUGGACUGGACAAUGGGUUGGAGAGGGAUGCUGGUGAGGAGUGAGCUUCUUGGAUUAGGUGGACACUUGAGACUGUGUUGGCAUCUCCUGCCUGGAGGGGAGAUGAGAGAGUGGAGGGAGAGAGCGGGCUGUCUCAUUAGGGGGAGAGUAAUUGGGAGUGUGUAGCAAGGUGUAUAUGGGUUUUUGUGUGAGAGACUGACUUGAUUCGUAAACUUUCACUUAAAGCACAAUAAAAAUUAUAUUAAGAAAAACACUUGGAUUCAGUAAAUCUAUUUUUAUAUUCCACAUCUCAGAUUUUAUAGAAUCAUAAAGAUGGAAAGAGUCUCAACCAUCUUAAGUCAAUGUUUAAUUUUUUCUUAUGAAUCUUUUUGAGAUUAUAGUGACAGCUGUGGCUUCUUUCCUCAGAAAAAUACACUUACAUACAAAAGUUUGCAUUCAAUUUCUAGAUGAUCCUGAACUCUGGUUCAUGGAUACUAGAAAACUCCCUGUUCUAGUCCAAAGCGUGCCCUUGAGAGUCUAGAGAAGUGACAUACUUAAAGAAACACACCUAGAUAGAAGCUGAAUACUUGUGACUCUUAGUCUGCUGAUCUUUUUCCACCAUCGUUUCCCUUUCCUUAAACCAAACUCUGAAUUUGUACAGCUUAGAGGAAGGGCUAGAGGUUUUAGCCUUAAAGUCAACAAUUUCAGCUUUGGGUUAUCCAGGUAGAAGAGUAAAGUAUAAUAAUACCCAAAACAAUUAAAUCAUUGAUUUAGAGAAGUCAAAUGAACUAAGCAGUUUUAUAGCUUGUUCAAGGGCUGUCCAGAUACCUGGCUACCUAAUUGCUUCAUCAGUAGCUUACGUAGACUGCCUGCAUCUAAAUUAAGCAUAUAGCUGCCAGACAUAUCUCCCUGGAACAGUAGUUUCAUUUAUUCAUCCUGUCUGCCCUUUUUUUCUCCUCCUCCUCCUGAAGACAUCCCAUAAUUGUUCCCAACCUGACCUGCCCAGCAUUUUUUAGGUGGAAUCAAGCUGAAAGCCUGACAUUGCCUUAGCUGGCAUUGAUUAUCAUUGUUUAAACCCCGGUUUCAUCCUCUUGUAGCAGGGCACCUUCGGUCAGAUUACUCGCCUUCUCUGCUUCAGUAACUUCAUCUAUAAAAUUGGAAACAACACCUUUUAUCUUGUAGCCAAUCAUAUCGUAGGUUAGCCAGUAAGCAAGGUGUGCAUGGGCUUUCACAUUAUGCAAGGUAUACACGGUUUACUUACUAAUCUGUAGUGCACAAAGACGUGGUGAAACCUAGGUGAAGUUGUGCACUACAGACUAGUAGGUAAACACAAGUAAGCCUCUACGUACCUUGCUUAGUGCGUAACCCGUCCCUGCACCUAAUUCAGUUUAAGUGGUAGCUUUUACUGUUUCUUGCUACUUUCUUCUCAUUCUUUAUUGGAGUUAGGCAGGUGUCUUCAAGUACUUGGUGCUUAUGCUCUUUACUAUGCUAUUUAUUGUCUUCAUUCUCCACAUCAUUUGUUAAACAUUAGCCAAGUUCCUUUUCUGUUUUAGUGAUGGCUGUUGGAGUAGAGAUGUACUAUUUUCUCUUCUUUUUCCUGUAUUCAUAAUAGUUUCCCUAUUGAUACUUCUAUAUGGAACUCUUCUACAAAAUUUGAUCAUGAAAUUACCAGAAAGCUAUUUAUGAGGCUUUUAAGAAAAUUUUUCUUCUCACAGUUUCCCGUUGCCAGGUCAGUUAUUUUAUUUCCAAUAAAAUAAACACUUGAGAUUGAUAGUGAUAAAAGAGAACCUUCUUUGAAAAUCCAGAUUUCCAUUGCCACAGUAGUAGGGAUAAUGUCGCAAAGCUCUGCUUACAAUUUGGUACUUCCACGGGUUCAGAGCUAGUACUUUGCUUCUGAUCUAAGGGGGUAGGAGAAUGGGUGAAAAAACAGUUGCUGUUGAGUCAGCCCUGACUCAUGACAACUACAUUUGUGUUAGUAGGACUGUGUUCCAUAGGGUUUUCAAUGGCUGGUUUUUCAGAAGUAGAUCGCCUUGUCUUUCUUCUGAGGCUCCUCUGGAUAGACUCAAACCUCUAACCUUUUGGUUACCAGAUGAACAUGUUAACUGUUUGCUCUACGCAGGGACUUCUAGGAGAAUGGUUAGGAUUCCUAAAUUGAUUAGAAGAAGAAUUUCAGCUCUUAAUCCUCUAUCUUGAUCAUGUUCCUCUUAUAUUUUGAGAAAAUUACUAUGCAUAUCCCCAGUAGAUAUAUAUUUAUUCAUAAAACAUUAACUAUUCUAAUAUUGUAUACAUUAUGAAAACAUGUAAAAAUAUAAGGGACGAGCUUUUUUAAAAAAAUAAUUCUGUUAUUCCUGUGCCCCAGAGGAUCAUCUAACUUGAUCAUUCAUCUUUGGAGAUACUCUUUUAUCUAAUUCUUUUUAUUCUUCAGACCUAACUCAAGUCUCUACUCUUGCUUAAUUGUUUGAUUUCACCAUUUUAUCUCUACAACUGGGCUGUUAACUCCCUGAGAUUAGAGACUGUCUUAUCUUUCUUUUGUGUCCUGUAACAAAGUCUAGCACGAUGAUGAUUAUUCAAUAUGUACUUAUAUGUAUUUGCUGAUUCAUUUCCUGGGGGUCAUUUCAAAGUAAUAUUUCACUGAUUACAAAAUAAUCACAAAUGGGAAAAAAAAAUUUUUCAUCAUUAUUCUCCCUUAGUAAUUCUGGGUUUCAUUCCUUGUGCUAUUCAUCUUCCAAGAUUAAAGAUAAUCAAGUCUAUCUGUACUUACAAUUUUGCAAAAAUAGAUAUACUGUAUAUGAUAAAAUGAUUUGAUUGAGACAUCACAGGAACAUUGCAGUCUGAGAACAAAAUCUUUUCAGCACCCACAUCUGUUUUUGUCCCUUGCAAUUUCUGCCCUUUAAUCCCUUAUCAAAUGCCUGAAUUGUAAAUCAUAGCAUUUUUUUUAAUAACUUUUAUUAAGCUUCAAGUGAACGUUUACAAAUCCAGUCUGUCACAUAUAAGUUUACAUACAUCUCACUCCCUACUCCCACUUGCUCUCCCCCUCUUGAGUCAGCCCUUUCAGUCUCUCCUUUCUUGACAAUUUUGCCUGCUUCCCUCUCUCUCUAUCCUCCCAUCCCCCCUCCAGACAAGAGUUGCCAACACAAUCUCAAGUGUCCACCUGAUAUAAUUAGCUCACUCUUCAUCAGCGUCUCUCUCCCACCCGCUGACCAGUCCCUUUCAUGUCUGAUGAGUUGUCUUCGGGGAUGGUUCCUGUCCUGUGUCAACAGAAGGUCUGGGGAGCAUGGUCGCCGGGAUUCCUCCAGUCUCAGUCAGACCAUUAAGUUUGGUCUUUUUAUGAGAAUUUGGGGUCUGUAUCCCACUGAUCUCCUGCUCCCUCAGGGGUCCUCUGCUGUGCUCCCUGUCAGGGCAGUUAUCAAUUGUGGCCGGGCACCAACUAGUUCUUCUGGUCUCAGGAUGAUGUAGGUCUCUGGUUCAUGUGGCCCUUUCUGUCUCUUGGGCUCUUAGUUGUUGUGUUCUUUUUAUACUUUCUCUGGAGUUAAUUUGUGCUGGAGUUGUUGGUGUACCCACUAUUUGGAGACACUCUUUAUAUUUUACUUUGUAUUUUAUAUUUUGUAGGUCUCUGUUUUGUUCCUCUGAACCACUACUGUGUUCUUUGAUUCUAAUGACCCUUUUAAAUAUCUGACAUUAAUUAUUUGCAACGGCACUUAGAAAUUCUUCACAGCUAUUCAGUUCCAUGAAUUUCAGAGGCCUAAUGUCAUAACCUUGCUCUUACACCAUGCCUAUAUUGUCAUCUCUUUCUGGCCAGAGAAGCUAGUAUCUAGGAAGAAAAAAAUAAGACCGAUGUCUUAGGGUUCUCUAGAGAAACUUAACUAGUAAGGUGCACAGAAAGAGAAAGAGAGAGGUUGGUUUAAUUUAAGAAAUUGGCUCAUGUGAUUGUAGGGGCUAGCAAGUCCAAAAUUUGUAGCUCAGGCAAGAGCCUUGAGAUCCCAUCAGUAUUGUGGCCUAAAAUCCGUAGGUCAGGUGACAGGCCAGAGACUCCUGCAGUCUUGUGUCCCGAAAAGAGUGGAGAAAUUCUGGCAACAUGUCUUUUUCUAGUCCGGAAGCAGAAUAUACCCUAGGGAAAACUCCCUUUUUACUCUUUGAUUGAUUGAUUGAGGCCCAUCCACAUUAUGGAUGGAGGGUAAUCUGCUUUACUUAAGGCCAACUGAUUUAAUCACAUGUAGCAACUUCAUAAUAGAGUCUAGGUAGCGUUCGAACAAACAACUGGGUACCAUAGCCAAGCUAAGUUGACACAUAAAAUUAACCAUCACAACUGGUUUAUAGUCAACUGGAAAUCAAUACAGCAAAAGACAUGAAAACCAAAACACUGUUGUCCUAAUUUGUAGUUCAUUUGUUCUUCAGUGAUUAUGCCAUUCCUUCAUAAAUGCAAUACUCUGUACUUAAUUAUUCACUAAUAUUGGAUCAUAACCCGGUGCCCUCAAGUCAAUUCCAACUCAUAGCGACCCUAUUGGAUCAUAGUUGUUACCAAUUUCAAUUUAAAGGUUUUAGAAUUUUUAUUAUUCCAUUUGCUUGAUCAGUAUGUUAGUCAUUUUUGCUUCAUAACACCCUCAAAAUUUCAGAGUCUUAUAAUGACUAACAUUUGUUUUUCUUACUCAUGGCUAUACUGGUCAGUUGGGAUGGCUGUGCUUCAGCCUGCAGGUUGGAUUUAGGCCUGCUCCACAUGUCUCUCAUCUCCUUGUACUAGUGGCCACCUGUACAUGUUCUUUUCAUGAGGACUGGCAUGAACACAAGAGUUCAAGCCAAAUCACUCAAGCACAUAUGAAGACUCUGCCCAUAUCACGUCUGCUAAAAUUACAUCAACCAAAGCAAGUCAGUGACCUAGCCCAAUACCACUUGAGCAAGGUGUAUACUAUGCCCACAGUGGUAGGCAGCACAAAGUUACAGGACAAAAGAGCUAGACUUUAAAUGCUGUUAAAGGGAAAUAAAAAACUAGGAAAACACUCGGAUCUACCACUGUAGGGAAGUAAGCCAUUAAAACAAUCAUUAAUUUCCCGAUAUAGGUCCUGUGGACUAUAAACAUGAGAAUACUUUUCUUUCCAUGGAUAGCUUACAUCUUAUUUGACUACGUUAUUUUGAUACUUCUCCAAAGCUCUGAAUUUCUCUCAUUAUCGCUUUAGCGUAAAAUUGUUGUUUAGUAUAAUGAACACAAAUAGAGAAGAUGGUGAUAUUAAUUGCCUUCAGUGCAUUGUUUGCGAAAGAAGUAGAAUUGCUGAUUGAUUAAGGAAAAAAUUAAGGGGUAGGUUAAAAAGGGUAUUAUAAAUUGAAUUAUUUCCCCCAAAAAUAUGUGUUGUAAAUUGUAACCUCUAUGCCUGUGGUUAUAAACCCAUUUGGGAAUGGGUUGUCUUUGUUAAGUUUAUGAGGCAGGUUUAGUGUAAGAUGUGUUUUGAGACAAUCUUUUUUGAAAUAUAAAAGAGAUUAAACAAGCAAGCAGAGAGAGAUGGAGUAAGAUAGAUGCCAAGACAGGUGGAGAUUUCCAAGGAACUAGGAAGCAGAAGCUGAAGAGAAAGCUCCAAGACAAGGCUUUCUCUCUCUGUCUCUAGAGCUGACAGGAAAAGCCUUCCCCUACAGCCAGUACCCUGAAUUUGGACUUGUAGCCUCCUAAGCUGUGAGAAAAUAAAUUUAUGUUUGUUAAAGCCACCCACUUGUGAUAUUUCUGUUAUAGUAGCACUAGAUAACUAAGGCAAGAGGCUAGGGUAGAAAACCACCUAAAUAAAAUAAAGCAUUCUUGCAAAUAAAUUAUAUUAACAUAUCUAUUCUUACUUAAUGCAAGAGAAAGUUCAAAAGUGGUGUUUUAUAGUCGUAUGAUUACCUAGCAACCUAAUUAAAGUCAAUUUUAAUAUAAUGUUUUAUAACUAAAUAUGAGAAUGAGUUUGUAUAUUGGUGUUAAUGCCUACUAAAUUCUGCAAUGUCAUUAAUAGUUUCCUGCAAACAUUUUCUUCCUGAAAUAAUGAUAGGUGCGGCUGCUUUCCUUUGUAAUAUUUAAUAUUUUCUUUAUUGCCUUAUCUUUAUUCCUAAACAGAAAACAUCUUUUUAUUUUGAAAUUAUCACCUCAAUUGGUAAUAUUUCAUAUAACGCACACAGAAUUCACUUUGUUUGAACAGGUGAAAUACUAUGAAAACUCAAAGGGAAUGGCUCUUGGUUAUAGCAUGUAUUAUUGCGGUUAUACCUUCUUUAAUGGUAUGAUCAAGAAAACUAAACAAGUUAUGUAUUGCAGCCAAACCCAAAGCCAAACCCAGUGCCGUCAAGUCAAUUCCAACUCAUAGUGACCCUAUAGGUCAGAGUAGAACUGCCCCAUAGAGUUUCCAAGGAGCGCCUGGUGGAUUCAAACUGCCGACCUUUUAGUUAGCAGCCGCAGCACUUACCCACUAUGCCACCAGGGUUUCCAUGUAUUGGAAUGCUAUGCAAUAUUAGGCAAAACCUAGUCCACCUUUUUCAUCAUGGCCUUGAGAGUUUAUUUUAUCUAUGGUACGUGUGCCUGGCUUUACAAAACAAAUGUAUUCGUUUUGCUACGUGUAUGUUUGUGCAUGUGUGUAAUUUUCAACUGCCUUUUUAAACUUUUAUUUUAAAAUAUACUCUCAGAAGAACUUGCAAAAAUAGUACAGAGAAGUUCUUCAUACCUAUUUGCAGCUUCCCUCAAUGACAACAUUAGACUAAAUUUUAAAUAAUUGAAUGACCUUUUCUCUACUCUUUACUAAGCCUGUUUGUUUUAGAAAUUUAAGUUUUUUUAAAGGCAGAAUACCGGUAAUGUGUCUGAUCCUCUUUAAUUUUCAGAAUUAUAAAGUGUCAUUUAAAUAGUCUUAGGUCAUUAUUGCUUUAUCUGUUUAGUACAUUCUUUGUCCAUUCUCCCAAUUUCCAGGUGGUACCAUUGAUUAGGAAGGGAUAGGUCUCACCUACCUUUCUGGUACAUUUCUCUCCAGCAACUUAAAAGAUAUGCAAGCCCCAAUUUAUUCUUAUAUUAAAGAAACACAUUUGGUUGAAUAUUUAGAUUUCUUGUUUUACAUUUAUUUUUGUGAUGUUUGAAAACUUUAAAAGUUUUUUUUUUUUAAUAUUGUCUCUCUUUUUUUUUUUCA